This 72438-nucleotide long non-coding RNA is filed under the name Vitis vinifera (wine grape). Its description in RNAcentral is "long non-coding RNA (VVIN_LNC006335)". Lineage: Eukaryota; Viridiplantae; Streptophyta; Magnoliopsida; Vitales; Vitaceae. The record is from RNAcentral.
CCUCCGAAUGUCAUCAUGACAAAACAUAAAAUAUCUCCUCACCAUUAAUGAGAGGAACAGUACUCCUGGCACUAUAUAUGAACCUUCACACGAAGAAGAAGGUAAUCUCCUGAUACCUAGUGAAAGGUCAACUGAUUUAUAUCUCCCUCUUUUAACCAUGGCUAACAAAACCAUCGGAGGGUGCGUCCGGACAUCCUUUCCGGAUGUCUUUUGCAGGUAUAACGACUAAAUCAAGAACCUUUGAGGGUUGAGAUCGCGUGUCCAUCCAUUCAGCAAUUGCGUGGAUCGCCAGGGACUCGAGGCAUCAACACCUAUUAUUUAAUCACUUAAACUUUUACAAUUUCUUACGUCUUCAAGUAUUUUCCUUAUAAAAAAUAAAUACUUAAUAUUUUUUAAAAUUUUUUAUUUUAUUUUAUAAUAUAUCACCAACAAAAAAGUAAUAAUAAUAAUAAUAAUAAUAAUAAAUGAUUAAUUAAAAAUUUUAGAAUCUAUUUGAAAACAUAACUUAUUCUCUUUAAAUAAAUUUUAAAAAUAAAGUAAAAUUGAAAAUAAUUUUUAAAAAAUAAAUAAAAAUUAUUUUCAAAUAUUUUUUAAAAUAAAAGAAAAACAUGAACCCUUAUAGUCAUGUUUUUCAAAAUUUAUUUUUAAGUUAAAAAAAUAGUUUUUAAAAAUAAGUUUUAGACUGGUCAUAUAAUUUUAAAAAUUUAAAAAUAUUAAAUUUAAAUAUUAUGUAAAAAAAAAAAAUCCCUUUACCUUUAUUUUCCUUAGGGUGGUAAGAAAGGAAAGAGCCAAGUCAACUCCACCAAGACAAUAGUGGAAAGAUUUCAAAAAAAUUUAGAGAGAGAAAUUGUUUCAUCAUAUCUUUUUAUUAACUUAUUAACAAAAAAAUGAGCCGUUGGUGGAGUGACAACUAAUUGAAUUAUAAUAAUGAUUAUAAGUAUAAUAAUAAAAACUAUAUGAAACUAAAUACAUAUUCAAAAGCCUAAAGCCCUCAAAGCGGCAAGCAAACGCGGAACAUUUCUCGAAACUACGUCGUUUCAGUCCUCCUUUGCUGCUCAUCUCGAAAAUUCCUUGAGUCAUUUUUGGCGAUCCCAAUGCUCCCUGUGUACAGUCGUUCAGGUGGUGAUGGAUUGUUUUUUUUUAAAAAAAAUUUGGAGUAAUUUUUUAUUAAUUUAUGGUUUUUUAAGGAAAGGGCAUUGGUUUUUUUUUUCAUUUUUAUUAGAUCUGUUGUUAGAUUGUUGACGCUUGUGUCGGAUUCUCUGCGAUUGAGAUCUGUUUCUUUUCCUCUACAGAAUUCAGUUCAUAUGAGAAUUUUGGGUUUUCGGAGGUGGGUAAUCUUUGAAUUGUUGAUUUAUGUUGUGUUUGGGUACUGGGAAAAUUGAGGGAAGAAAGGAAAGGAAAAGGAAAGAAAAAGAAAAGAAUUAUUUUUUAAAUUUCUUUUUGUUUGGUGGUGUUGGGGUUGUCGAUUCAAUUCGGGAGAUUCGUUGGGGAAAGGAUAUGGGUGUGUUGUGUUCCAAGUCGAGAAAGAAUAUGAUGGGUUUGGAGACUGAAUUGAUUUUCUUUUUGUUUUUCUUGCAUUUCGCAGAAGCCAAUCACACCUAAAAUGAAUGUCUGUAAUGGAAGUAAAGUGGUCAAUUUGAGUCAUUUUACCAUCAAUCUUGGUGAAACAGUGUUUCUUGUGAACAAAGGGUGAAUUUGCUUGCAUUGAAAAAUACCCAUUUGAAAUCCCCUGAAUUGGGUGUGGAUCUGAGCUUCAUUCAUAAGCUACAUACUUGUAUUUUCUCGGGAAAUGUUUUCUUUAUUGCUUGUGUAAGCAGAUUCAAAAGUCUUUAGCUUCAAUGACAUACCAAAUGCAUUUUAUAUUAUGUGGAGAACAUGCCCAUUUCUGUAUAUUAGAAUGUUAUAUAUUUAGAAUGUCUUUUUGGUAAUAUUCAAAUAUACCCUUUACAUAUAUGCAUUUGAAUUUUAGCAGUAUUUUCCUUCAUUCAAAGAGUAGAUACUUUUGUGUGUGUGUGUGUGUGUGUGUGUAAAGGAUAUCCGUUACAUGUAUGCUUGAAUGCCCAUUUCAAUGUACUGAAUUUGACCUGGAUUAGAGCUUAAUUUGCAAACAAGGAACUUCUAGUUUUUGGGUUAUUUUUAUGGAGUAUAUUAUAUAUCAUACAUGUUGGAAUUACGAAAUAAAGGCUGAGUCCUUUGUCUUGUUUGGUGUAGGUGGAGGUGUUUCUCAUUCUUUUACCUGCUCUGGUUCAGCAGUAGUAUGAAUUGAUGUACGAUGCAGAGAUCACGUAGAGCUCUUCUGCAACGAAGAGCUUUAGAGAAAGCUAUCAUCGGCCGGAGUCGGUUGUAUAAGGUUUCAUUGUCUUUGGUCUUUGUGUUGUGGGGCCUUGUCUUUCUUUUGAGCUUAUGGAUCAGUCAUGGUGAUGGAUACCAAGGUGAGUCUCCAUUUGAAUUUCCUUUGUGUUAAUAUUGAAUUCUGGAAAAUUGUUUGAAUAUAUAUACCAAUUGAACCCAAGCUUCUCUUUUCUUAUAAGGUUAUAUUGGAUGAUUUAUAUAGAUUUAUACGUUUUGAGUUUCUAUGCUGCUUCUAAGUUGUAACAGUAUUUAGGCAAUCAAAUUCAAUGCCUCUGCUUAGCAUUUUCACAUAUAAGAUUAUUGUUACAUCUCUCACAUUGAUCAUCACUAUGUUGUAGACAAGUUUGAUCAGUUCAUCAAAUUCAUAAAACCAGUCAAUACUGUGUUUGGAUCAGUUUGAUAGUGAAUAGAAGUACUGCUUGAGUGAUUGCUUCUCAAUUAUGUGGACUAGUUGUUGUGAUUCACCAAUCAGGCUUAACUAUUCUGUAGGCAUGAUUAUGAGAAGAGCUUAACUGUUUCUGAGAAAUAGGAUUCAAAUUUCAAACAGACCUAAAUAUUGCUCCCAGAUGCCACACAUAGUAGAAGAUUGGAUCUAAAGUAGUUUUUUCUGUCAGCUGACAUGCUUGAACUAACACAAGUACUCUGUGUUUCGAGAACUUUACAUCUUCUGUCUUAUUUUUCCAUGAAGCUACUGAGCCUGGCUCAAGUGGCAAGACAUUGGAGGGGGGAUGUGGAGCUUCCAUGUACCAAAAACAAAAAAGGAAAGAGCAAGUAUCUGGUCCCCCCCCCCCCCCCCCAAAAAAAAAGAACAUACUCCAUGACACAUAAAAUUGGUCUUGCUUUGGAAUUCACCAUGUGUACAUAUCUUCUCUCACUAGCUACUCUAUAUCUUUUCUUUGGAUUUAAGUGAAUCUUUGGGCGUUUCUAGAAUGCACCAUUUUUAAAUUUUAGUCUUAUUUUAGGAAGACAAUAUCUUAAUUUUUAAGAAUUUAAUAUCUGUAUGCAUUCUUUUCUUACUAGCCACUCUCUGCUCUUUGCAUGGUUUUAGAUGGAUCUGGCAUGCCUCUCAUUGGCAUAUCAACUUGGGAUGAAGCAAAGCAGGGCCUUAAUCUAGGUUCUUGUUCUGUUGAUGAACAUUCUUUGAUAGAAACCAAUUCUGACAAUUCUUAUGAAGGUUCCAGAAAUGAUGCUGAAACUAAGGAUUUCACCAAUGAAUUACAUAGCAAAGGAAAUGUAAAAUCUACCUUGCCUGUUGAGGAGGGAUCUGAGGUGGAGAAAUCCAGUUCAGAUGUAAAAUCCGAAAAGGAUACCCCAAAGAAUGACAGGUUAUCCCGUGCUGUGCCACCGGGCCUUGAUGAAUUCAAGAGCAAGGCAAUUAGUUAUAAAAGUAAAUCUGUAACUGGUCAGGCUGGAAACGUCAUACAUAGAGUAGAGCCUGGGGGUGCAGAUUACAAUUAUGCUUCAGCUUCAAAGGGAGCGAAGGUCUUGGCUUCUAACAAGGAAGCAAAGGGUGCUUCAAAUAUUUUAGGCAAAGACAAGGACAAGUACCUUAGAAAUCCCUGUUCUGCUGAAGAGAAAUUUGUCGUUAUUGAACUUUCAGAAGAAACCUUGGUGGAUACUAUUGAAAUUGCAAAUUUUGAGCAUUACUCUUCUAAUCCAAAAGAUUUUGAGUUGCUGGGCAGUUCGGUUUUUCCAACAGAUGAGUGGGUCAAGCUUGGGAAUUUUACUGCUGCAAAUGUGAAGCAUGCUCAGAGGUUUGCUCUUCACGAGCCAAAAUGGGUGAGAUAUCUAAAGUUAAAUCUACUGAGCCAUCAUGGUACAGAAUUCUAUUGCACACUGAGUGUUGUGGAAGUAUAUGGAGUGGAUGCUGUUGAGCGAAUGCUGGAGGAUUUGAUCUCUGUUCAAGAUAAUCCAUUUGUACCUGAGGAAAUUACUGCUGAGAAAAAGUCAAUUCCCUCCCAGCCGGAGCCCACUGAGGGUAAUAAUCUGUAUCAGAAACCUGUUAGUGAAACAGAAUCUGACCCUCUACUUGACAAACCUGAAGCUAUUAAAAGUAACAUGCCAGAUCCAGUUGAAGAAAUUCGUCAUCAACAGGUUGGAAGGAUGCCUGGGGACACUGUUCUUAAGAUACUGAUGCAAAAAGUUCAAUCACUUGAUUUAAGUUUGUCUGUUUUGGAGCGAUACCUGGAGGAUUUGAACUCCAGAUAUGGUAACAUUUUCAAAGAAUUUGACAAAGAAAUUGAGGAGAAAGAUGUUCUUCUGGAGAAUAUAAGAUCAGACAUAAGGAACUUCCUUGAUAGCAAGGAGAUUAUUGUAUGUAACUCACUACCUUUUCAUUUUUAAUUGCUUUAUUUCUUUAUGAUGGUUGAUUUUUAACUCCUACAAUGUCUCAUGCUCUUGCAGACCAAAGAUGUCAGUGAUCUUAUUUCAUGGAAAUCCCUUGUUUCCCUACAGUUGGAUAAUCUACUCAAGGACAAUGCUCUUCUCAGGUCGGUUUCCUUCCCUCACCAUAUACAUCUCAUCAUUUACUCUAUUAUAUUUUAUAAUAUGAGUUUGCCUGAUGACCUUACAGCUUUUUAUUUUUAUUUUUAUUUUUUACUUUUUUGGGGGGGUUAAUUUCUUGGAUAAGAAAAUUUAUAAGCCUCUUAUCUGAAUAACUUUCUUUAUAUUUUACUUUAUAAUUAUAAGUGAUUUUUGCUACCAUGUGGGUGUUUUGGCCCUGGAAAUUUUCAUUACAUAGAAGUGCAUAAUUUUCAAAAUUAGGCAAAAUGAUCUUUUUUUUGCUAGUCUUUCUUCUGUUGGGGUUGUCUCCUAUGGAGCUUUAAAUUCUAAUUUUUCUAUAAAAUUUCUUACCUAGGGUUGAUGCCCAAGAGAGACUUUUUAGUGCCAAGUUUCUAAUCAUGCUCCAAAGAAAUGAUGUAACUUAACCAAUGAACUUCAACAGCGUAAAACGCUCCUUUAAAUGAAGUUAUAUUAAGCCUCAUAUCCUAAUGCCUAAGCACAUGGGAUAAAGGUUGACUCACCUCUAGAUGUGCAGUGCUUGGAUAUUUUUUUAGGGAUAAAACCAGCUUGAAUGAUCCUCUGAUAUAUGUCAAUAUGCUCAAAGAUAUCAUAUUUUGGUUUGGGGGAAAUGCCACCCUAAAAAUAAAUAAAUGACAAAGUCUAAAACCGUGUAGUUGAUCUAUUCUUAUUUCAAAAUAUGCAUGUAUCCUAUCAAGUUAAUCAAAAAUGGAUACCCUAGUUUCUACUAAAGAAUGGCUUUAAAACUCGAAAACCCCCACUACUUAACAAGGCUCUUACACUUAGUCCCAUUGAAUUUGAAAUUUAAAAGAUGUUGAGAGGCAUGAAGUGAAACAUUCCAAUUAAAAGAGGUUUGAACUUAAAUUUGUCUUUAGUUUUUGCAUAUAAAAUAAGAGAAGCCCAGGCUUUUGAGGAUAUAAUGCUGUGUUCAAUAAAACGCUUGUCUCAAAAUCAUUAGAGAGACAAAGAGGAGAAAUUCUUUAGGUGUUGAACUGCUUCCCUUACUAUUUCUUCUGUAAAUAUACGUUGGUACUAUUAUUGCUUAAUCAAUGAUUUGUAAGCCUAUGUUUGAUUCCUAGAAAGUUUGAAGGAAAGAAAAAGGUAAGGAAAAAAUUAUAAAAUUCGUAUCUUAUUUGAUUGUGAAUGGAAAUUUGAAGAAAAGAAAACUAUAUAUAUGAAAAAUGUGCUUUCUCUAGACCUCCCUCACCUUCUUCCAAGGCAAAUCAUUUUAACAUUUUCCCUUCUCGCUUCCUUAACACUUUCCCUGAACCAAACAUAGCCUAAUGACUUCCUGAUUUUCUCAAAUUGUCACUUAUUGUUAGGUGUCGGGUUUGUGGGUGUUUUUGCGUGCUAAUUGUUGGAAUUAACUUGCAGAGCGGAGGUCCAAAAGGUUCAGGAGGACCAGACACACAUGGAGAAUAAGGGUAUUGCAGUGUUUCUUAUAUGCCUAAUUUUCGGAUUCUGGGCUUUUGCGAGGCUAUUGGUAGAUAUGAUGUUGAGUGUUUACAUGGCGGUGAGUGUUAAUAAUAGAUCAGAUAAAUCCAGGAAUUUUUGUGGGACGAGCUCUUCCUGGGUAUUCCUGCUAUUGAGCUGUAGCAUUAUUAUUGUGAUCCUGUCAUUAUAAUUAUGGUAAUAUAUUUAUAUAUCUAUAUAUCAAUUUUCCUCAGCCUUAUUUAUAAAAUUAUAUGUGACAAUGAUUUGGGAUCAUGGAUUCAUCAUACAUUAAGAAACUAUCAGAUCAUGGGUUGAAUCAAAAGAUCGUAUGGGUACCUUGAAUAAUGAUCAUAUUUUUCUGAUAAUUAUGCCAUAGUUUGGGCUUUGGGGUGGGUUUGGAGUCUCUCUUUGAGCGUGAUUUUGGAUGAAAGGUUUUAAUGUUUCAUCGCUUUUAUUUACAUGUAUUUUCUUUGGAAAUGCUUUUAAGGUGGAUGGAUUAAUGUCUAGAUAUGAACUAAGAGCCCGUUCGGCUGUGAUUCUAGAAAGUAUUUAUAACCUUUCUAACAUUUUAAAAAAAAAAUUGUCAUUAAAGAAUUAGAGUCCAUUUGACAAUGAUUCUAAGAAAUGCUUUUAAACUUAAUACUUGAAAAAUUUUAUCUUUAAUGUAUUAAAAAAGUUAGAAACACUUCUUAAAAUUACUAUCAAACCUAUAUUUUGAAAGCUUAAAAAUGUUUAUUAAAAUCAUUGUCAAAUAUACUUUAAGAGUACAUUUGACAGUGAUUCUAAAAAGUGUUUUUAAACUAAAAUAUAUUUUUUAUUUUUAAAUGUUCGGUAAAAUUUAGAAAAUACUUUUAAAAAUUGUAAAAAUUAUUUGUAGUGUUAAAAAUCAUAUUUUAUAAAGAAAUAUCUAAUAGGUGAUUUUUAUUAAAAACACUUUUAGAUAAAAUAUUUUAAAUAAAAAUAUUGUUAAACACAUUCUAAAAAAAAUUUAAUUUUAUUUAUAUUCCUGGUGUUUAACGGGAUACAUUAACCCACUGGUGGCUUUAAAUCUAUUCCGUUAGUACCUUAAUAGAUAUUUUGUUUAUAAAAUUUAUUUUUGAUAUAAAAACAUUUUGGUUAUUAAACACAUUUACCAAAAAAAAUUUAAAAAUAAAUUUUUAUUUUUAAAAUGAAAUAUUUAUAAGAAUGUUAAUUAAUGAAAUUUGAAGCAAAUUGUCUUAUACUAAACCCCAUGAAAUUAACUCAAGUAAAAAAAUGUUUUGAUUUUUUAAAAACAUAAAUAUACAAUAAAAAUGUGAUUUUUUCUAAUUUUUUUAUAUUGAUUUUCAAAAAUUUAUCAUACCAAUAAUUCACCAUACUAGUUUUUACAAAAAUGAAAAUAUAAUCACAUGUUAUAAAACAUUUUAACCUCUUUUAAAUCAUUCCCAUUAUGAAAUAUUUUCAACCUCCUUCAAAAUCAUUCCAAGUUCUUCGAGGACAAUGCUGCAAAAUAUGUGCAGAAAAAAAGACCUGACUUCUCUCAUUUGUAUAAAUAUUGAUAGUAUUAUUUUCUUCAAUAUUUUUAUAAUAUUCAACAUUUUCUCCAUUUGUUUCAUCUUCCGCCUGUUCUGUUUGAACACUGAUCAAUAGAAAAAGGAAACUCUGAAUAUACCAACCACUCCAUGGCAUGAAACAAACGGCUAUAAAGCUUGGAUUCUAAUAAAACGAGCGGUCAGAAAAUAAAUGAGAUUAUCAUCAUCACACUAAGAAUCUGAACCCCCAAAGGGUAACAACCAUUAAGUAAUUGGUUUCUGAGUACCAAAACAAGGGACUUUUAAGUGAUAAUAUGGGUGUGUCCCGCCUUCAAAGAGGCCAUAAUCCAAAUGUUACAGAUCCAUCAAAGAUGGAAAAGUGUACAUGAAAUGAGAAUGGAAUACAUGCAAAUUACAUCUCUAGCUUCCAAAAAUGAGUGAAACCCCAAAAUAGAAAAGAAAACCUCCAAAAGAAAAAUAUUGAAUAGAGGAAUAUAAUGAUAAAUGGAUUUCAAGUAUGCCUUGAAUCCAAUGUGGGCACGUCGUAAAAAAAACUGAUAUUAUGGGACUGUAGCCUUUCUAUGUACACAAGCACCCUGUUUUACUCUCUGUAGAUUCUGCAAUAGAAUCUGAGCUUUGGCCAAAUGGUGGGAUCAUGAAGUGCAAAGAGCAGAUCUUUGGCCACAAGGAAUGUGUUGAAUAUAUGAAUGGUCAAUUUGAUCGGUCCGACAUCUAAAAAAAUUUGUAACCUGAGGAACCUGACGGGGGUGGUGCUGGCGGCCGCCGGUUGGGAGUACGGCGGCUGGAGUUUGAGCCGGAGCUGACAUCACCAUUCUGUGCUGGGUCACUGUAAUGCCGACUGUGACCAUUAGAACCAGACCGAGACAAAUCAGAGUUGUAGUCAACAGGUCCAUUGGCUGCAGCAUCAAAUGCUGAUCUCCAGUCAUCACCACCGGAUGGACCACUGGUUUUUGGGCUGCUUUCUGCAAAUGAAGUAAAAACCAAAUUUUUCAGAAUUUCAAAUAGGGGGAUUCCAUGGACCACAGUGAAAUGGAGAGUUUGUAAAAUGAAAAAGGAAAAGACACAGAAAUUUGAAAAGCAUAAUGAGAAAGGGAAAAAAUGAAAUUUUUAACAUAAUUGUACUAACUUGAAAAUGAUAGCUAGAUUUGCUUCCCUAAUAUUAGUUGUAAGAGUAAAAAGAAAUGACUAAGUUCGAACAGAUCAAGAUAUCCUAGGUCCAAUAGCUACAAUCAUGAUUAGAUGUUCAAGCCAAACCCUAUCUUCCUAUUAAAUGGACCUAAAGUUCCUAGCAAAAACCGUCCUCAUUGAACUCAUCAGCAUCCAAAAACACAAAAAGAUACCAUUCAUUUUACAAAAUUCAUUUUUUUCUAGAAUUGAGAAUAAAGUUCUUCAAGCCAAGAGACUUGUUUGAUUAUGUUUUCCAAAAAGAGUUUCUCUGUAUAUGUUUCCAAAAGCAGUAAGAGCGAGCAUUAAUUCAUUGAUCCCUGUGUGUUCUGAUCUAUUCUGAAAUCAGCCACAUUUGUAUACAAGUUUUAUCAAACCGAAGACAAAAAAAAGUCAGUGUUUUCUUCCUUGUCCUAAUAAUGGUUUGAAAUUCUUGGACUUGAUGCAGAAAUUAGCAAAGAGAGAGCUAGGAAUUUGUGUUUAAAAAGAGGCAAUGGAGGCAUAAACUUCAUAUACUUCCCAUUUCAUACCUGCUCCACCAACACCAUUUGACCAGCUAGAGGCAGCAGUUGCCCGAUUGUCAUGAAUGCUGAGUUGGCGAGUUAGUUUUGAAAGGAGGGAGGACUGCUUCUGGUAGCGCUCCCUCCUACGCUUUACAUUCUGAUCCUCUAGAAGGAGCUCUUCGAUCCUUGCUGUGCUUUGUGCGCUGUCCAGACAAACAGAAAGGAGACAUGAUAUAUUUCCUAGGACAGUUAUAAUAAAGAACUUCAUUUGAUCAAUCAUUGCAUACACAAAGAGAAUUCAUGCCAUUGGCAUAGAAGGGAGAGCAGAAAAAACGACUCUCAGGCCUGCUAGUGCAUGGUACUGACUAGGAUCAAAUUCCGCCUUUACAUUAUACAAAUAAAAAGUAAAGGAUGAGUUUGUGUAUGGGUUGUUUAUUUAUAUGGGAAUAUCUCUUUACCUGAUUGAGCUGUACAACUGAUUUAGCAUGUCUUCCUUAGCUUUCUCAACUUGGCAAAGAACAACUGCCUGCCAACCAAUCGAUCACAUAUUCAAGCAUUUGUAAGUGACCAGAUGUAAAGAUGCAAAAAUGAGAAUUCAGGGACAAGUGCUUACUUUAGGGACAUUAGCAGCCAGACUGUUUAAAACCGCUUCAACAUAGCCACGCACUUCUUGAGACAUCCAUCGAAGUUCUUCUUCUGGGUCGGCAGGUCUUCGGACCAUUGUAUCCUGAAAAGCAAUUUCAGAUCAACAAUCAUACAAGGAACCAUAAUAUAGGGGAACUAAAUUGCUUAUUUAAGGCAUAAUUUUAAAAAAAAAUGUCAAUAGGAGCUUCAAUGUCCAAAAGAUAAACAGCAGUCCCAAACUAAAGAAAUUUCAAAAGUUAAUCUACCAAUAACUAGAAUCGCAUCAGGCACAAAUGUCAUUAAAUUUUCAAGAGAUUUUAGCAUUUAAACACAAUUCACAAAGCCGAAGCAUAUACACUACAAGAGACAGCAGGCAGAAGGCACGAGUGAAAAACUCACCAGGGAACCAUCAGAAAGACUUUGCCUCAUGGUAAGACCACCUUCAGUGGAUGCCCCUUUCAUUUGACCCCCUUUGGAAGGUUGAAUAACACUGCUUAUCUUGUUUACCCAUUCAACUUUAUCUGCCAUACUCUCUGCCUUAAGCACCACAGCACUGUGGGCUGCAAGAUUAAUUAAAAAUUUGUUUUAUUUAAAAUUGUAAGUCAAAACAAAAACCAGAGGACUAUCCACCUAAGUAGAGCACAAUGAACUAGGACAAGAACAAACCUUUCAAAACUGUUUUAUAUGGAACCUUGCUCGUUAUCUUGAAAACAAGACUGGUGUUCUUUCCUGAAUCAGGCCCAUUGGCCUUCUUAUCCUUCGAACUUUUUCGGGGAGGUUCUUCCUCAUCUGAAACCUCCUCUACGUUACAUUCCUGCACGGCACAUAAAUGAAAUGAGGCAUGUUCAAUAACUUGCACAGAAAUCCAAAAUUUUAAUAAUAAUCCACUCUAUAGCAAGAAUGCAUUUUUAUGGUCAUAAUAUAAUUAUUCUUAUCAAAACAUGGUAGUCACAAAGGCAAUGUAAAAUAAAUCAAAAUUAUUUAAAACACUCCUUUCUUACUGAAAACAAAAUCCACCAUACAGUGUAUCACAAUUGGUUUUCCAUCCAUGCCUAGUGUUUGGAUAAGGAAGGUUAUGACCCAAUUUUCAAAAACGUUUAGAAGACUAUUUGCCUGUUUAAAAUAGGGACAAGUCUCAAAUUUGUGCACGUAGAUAAAUAUAAAGGAAAAGGUUCUCCGGUAUCUAGUAAACUUUUCAAGGAACCAACCUGGUUCCAUGGUUCAUAACCUUUCAAGGUUCCAGCUUGGUGCCAUGGCUCAUAACUAAUUUUAGUAUAAAAAUAAAUUUUAGUAUGGUAAGAUGUAUAGGAAUAAAGGAAAGUGGUUGAGGUGGGGAUGUGAGAGGUUCUAGGUUAAAGUCCCAACAUAGGCCAAAGCAAACCUUUAAAAAAGGGAAAAACCAAAAUGAAAACAAACAAACAAUAUAUAUAUGUGUGUGUGUGUGUGUGUGUGUGUAAAUACAAUAAGAAAUUUAUCAAAAAAAUAUGUAUAUAAAUACAAUAAGAAACUAGAGAGUACCAAUAAUGACCCUAAUUUCCUUAACUAAUGGAACCACUAAAAUGAAAUUCAAAACGAUCCACCCACUGUUAGUUUCUUAGCUAUAAGAAAUACUUUAUGAAAGGAUUUCUCAUAGCAAUGUACCACUUUUUAUGACAUAGUGUGAUGAUGAAAGAAGAAUGCAAGAAAAAGAGGCAAACAGUCUUGUCACUCAUUUUGCACAAAAAGCAAAUAUCCAGAGAGAGAGGUUUCCUUUCUCUUGAAUCUCAAAGCAUUGAAUUGAUGUUCACCUCAUCGUGAGCUCUCAACCAAAUCAAAACACUUGAGGAAGAAACUUUUCCUUCAAAAUCAUUUUGGCAGGGAGCAAGCAGUUGUGCACACUUGAAUCAAGAAACUAUGAAAUGUAAACAACAAUUACACAAGAGUGCCACUAUUUUCAAGAAACAAACAGAGAUGACACAAAAAGUCCAAAAUGAUGGUCAACUCUUCAAGAAUAUUCAAGUAAGGUGAUUUCCGAAACUUUUCUAUCCUAGAUACUACUUUAAAAAAUGAAAUUUCCAAAGAGCAAUCAAGAAAAAAGCUGUAGAAAACAUUCACUUGUUAUAAUUCAAAAAAAAAUGGAGUUGGCCUACAUGCACACUCAGAUAUAUUAGCCUCCAAUAUAAACCCAACUUUGCUUUCAAUAUUUACAAUGGUUAAAAUUUUGGCCACAACAGGACAAAAAAUUCUGGUUAUUGGUAUUUAUUGCAAUCCAUACCUCUAAAGUGAUGACACCACGGAAAUGCCUUUCCUCUUGCUUUUUGGUGUAACCAAGCUGUGAAACAAAAAGACAACCAUAUUGAUGAAAUACGGCACUCUGUCAUUUUAAAAUUCAAUGAUACAUUUGAUGGAGACAAAAAUGGUGCAAAGAACCAAUGAAAGAAUACAAAAAGGGCACAUCCAGUGAUGAACUGAUACUUUACUAACCUUGCCAGUCUUUUCAUUUAAAACAAACCAUCGCCUGCUCCAUCCAUUAGUUUUUUCACUUUUCUUCAAUAGAAAGCCUGUAUAUGUAUAAAGUAAAAGGUUGGAGAGAGAGAGAGAGAGAGAGAGAGAGAGAGAGAGAUGUUGAUACAAGAGAAGAUGCACAAUACAUGCCAUUAUACAUGUAAGGGUGACUUCAGAUAUCCUUGGAAGCUUGAUAACGUGAUAUAACAGAUUCAAGAAUUGGCUAGAAGUUCAUACACACAGAUUGUAAAUUAUCAAAACAGAUUCUAUUUUAUAUUAUAUUCCUUAGAAAUAUAUAGUUGUACCAGUAAGCAUCAAGUUCUGCACAUGCCUGUACAGAUACGACAACCACAACAAAUAUCAAAAAGGUAUCCAUGUGCUCAAGGCAUCACCUGCCCUUCACACAAUAAAUUCUUGUGCCAAGUGCAUUUAGUCACAAGGAAGACACUACACACAGGAGACACUCUAUAACUUAUGAAAAAUGAAAUGGGUAAGAGAACUUGACAAAGGCACAGCCCACACAGAUCAUUUCAGUUGACAAACAAAUAAGGAAAUACCAAUCAAAGAAAACUUAAACAUGACCAAAAAGGAAAGGUAUAGAAAUGACUUAGAACCUCUGUAACUAGAAAAUUUUUCCUCAAAAGCUGAAGCUACCAUAUAGAAACAUACUACCAUUUAAGGAAAUGUUACAUCCCCAAAUGUUAUUGCUUUUUGGGAUCUUUGAUGCUAUAAAAAUUAACACAAUCCUAAGAGGGGUCUAGCCAUUAUAUAGGGAAACACACACACCCCACAAAACACUGAACUGAGGAUCCUCAAAAGGAGAGACAAAAGCAACUCACUAUCAGUAAAAUUACUAGCCUAAUACUGAGCUGUACAGAAGCAUACCUGCUGUGAUCUCACCACCAGGACCAGCUAUCUUCAAAGCUGAGCCCUCUUGUGUUUCUUUUUCUGACUGACCAGAUUUAUCCUUCAUUGAUUUCAAACUUCCUCCGGAUUGCUGACCACCAGUUUGAGGACUAGUUGCCUAAGUAUAAGGGCAUAGUAGACAGUAAGAAUGGGAUUCUUUUUGACAAAUGAUUGGAAAGGAACUAAGAGAAAGGAGGCAUUAACUCCAUCAAACUACAAUGAUUUAUACAAAGAAAAGAACUGCAUCAUAACAAGAUGACCACUCAUGCAACUUUGGUAACUCAGCAAUAUUUUUAAAAUAAUUCUUACUCAUAUUUGGAUUAGAGAAAAAUAUUAUACCCUAUUCAAAAUCGAUUGCUCUGCCUCAUGUCCUUUUUUUGAGGAUCGGUUCUUCAGCUCUUCUUCCCGUCGCUGUCUCUCCAUCCUAAUAUAAAUUAAGCACAUAAAUCAAAUAGAUAAACCGUAGGCAAACAUAAGCCACUCAAUAUAUUGAGAUCACUGGCAUUAUAGCAUACAUGUAAACAGCAGCAUAUGACAAUGGCAAACCAGGAAGAGAUGGCGAGAUGGAGAGAGAGAGAGAGAGAUGAAUAAAUCCAUCAAACAAGGUAUUUUUAAUUCCUAAACAUGAGGUGAAAAAUCCAUCAAAUAGGAUGUAUUAAAUUUGUAAACAUGAAAUGGCUACUCUAUGAUUUUUAAGUUCGACAGUCUAAAACAUAGAUAUGGCCUAAGAAUGUUUUUUUUUGAGUUUACUGAAACAGUAACAAUAAUAGCUCAAAAGUUUCUACUUAUUGACAAUGGAUCCAAAAAUAUAGGCUUAUAUCAUAUUCCCAGUACCUUCUUUGCACCAAACGAAUGAAGUGUUGAGGGGGCACAAAAGCUCGCUCCAUAUCCACUAGGGCAACCACCAUUUUCUUAGCUUCAUUCUUGAACACAUCUAGUGCAGCAGUUGCAAUUGCCACAACCUAAUAAAAAUAAAAAAUAAAAAAUAAAAAAAUAAAAUAAAAAAUCGAAUAGAUUUUUUAGGUAUGAAGGAUUAAAAUUACGCACAAUCCUGAAUAUAUAAAUAAAUACUGCCAGCACAAGAACAGGUGCGCAAUCAAAGAAAAUAUACCUCUCUCUUGAAAGGAGGAUAUCUCCCCAGACCUGGCGUAGCAUUUGCAGCAGCAGAAACUACAUCUACCAGGACACGGUGCACCUAUGUUUCAUAGUCAUCAGUAUGCAACAAACACAGUAGGUGGUUAAAGAAUUCCAUUCAAUGGGCCACAUAGACAUCAAAUAACAAAGGGAAAAUUCAAGUAUUAGGCAAAGGUUUGAGUAUCAUUAAAAGUAUGUAUAGGGUUUCCUAUUUGGAAAUACAUACGACGAUAAAAAAGGUGGUGGCAAAAUAAAGAAUGAAAGAUUCAUUGGUAAAACUGCAGAGAGAAAUGCUAGUAUCUUUGAGGAUAGAUGGAGGUCCAUGGAGGCUACUUGAAAUAAUUUACUCCUCGUCCUCCUUUUGAGCAUCUGUCACUUAUCCUUUUGCAAGUACUUCUUUGAACUUUCUAUUGCUAGAUAGGAAAAAUGUUUGCUCCUCCAAGAGAUCACCUGGGAAGACUAUGUAUGAUUGGUUACCUCCAUUAAGUUAAAUUUUAAAGGUCAUUCUUUAGGUAAUCCUAAACAAUUAGGAACACAAGCUAUGGUGCAGUACAAAGGGCUUAUCUAAACCUGCUGUACUGGGUUUAGCUACCAAAGGCAAAGAUACUAACAUUACUAGGGGGCUUACAGGGUAAAUAUUUGUGUCAAUCCAACCUCAAUUUAGAAAGAGAUUUUUCUGUUGUUAUUUCUUAGGCCGCCUGUUAGAAGAGAGGCUCAUAGAAGUUCAAUGACUGUUUUCACAAAAUGGAAUGCUCUUAUCUUGGGUUCCUUUGCUCAGCUAAUCAAGCUAGAACAAUUACCCAAACAAGGAGCAAACCAGUUAGUUUAUUCUAUUGGAGGCUUCUUUCCUCCCUAAUUGCAUAGAGCAUUUGUAAUGUGCGCAUAUUCUUUUUCUGCUUAUAGUUUGUGCAUACAUUUCUAUUCUCUGAUUCGCUUGCACAUUCCAGAAGGUUUAUACAUCCAACUUUUAUUUUCCAUUCAAUGUAAUGAAUAUGUUUGUUUUCAAUUAAAAAAAAAAAAAAAAAAAGUUGUCAAAUUACCCCUCCAGAAUGGCUAUAGUUUUUCUAGAACAAAGAGGGUUGUGGCAGUAUCAUCAAGUUAUCAGGGGUGAAAUUUGAAUUAUGGUAUCAAAGAGGAGCAUGAAGACUGAACAUUUACACAAAGAAGGCAGAAGCAGCAAAGCAUCUGAAAUAUCGAAAGCAACUCCGCAAGGCUAUUCAAAUCCAUUCUUCAAAAGAAGGGGAAACUCAGAAGUUAUGAAUAAUUAUCCUUACCUCAUCAACACAAAGCCGUGAUGGCUCUUUUGCAAGCUCCAAGACACCUUUUAUUAACGAUCUCAAACCUUUCUCAGGAGAUAUAAGAUAUGGUUGAUAACCAUCAGCUUCUAACACAAUCUGUGACCAAAUGGGGGAAAAUCACUCAAAGUAAUUAGACCUCAAAAAUAAUCCAAAAUAUAGUAUAAAAUUGAGACCGAACAACACAAUGGUAGAUACCCUUUUGACAUUGUUGAUGUCAAAAUGCCUGUCUAAAGGGAGCUGCUUGAUCCUGUUAGGAAAAUUCCCCUCAAAACUGGCAACGACCUUCCAACCAGCACCCUGCCACGUAAAUGUAACAUAUAAAAUUUAAGAACGAAUAAUCAUAGCACUAAAUAUUGCUAUAACUAUAAGCACAGGAUAGGAAAGAAUUAUGAUAUUGAAUUCCAUUGCACGGUUUAUCAUACUAUGAGAAUGAUAGGACAGUGGCGUGCUAUGAAUGCCAUUGAGCAGUUUAUAAUACUGUGAGAAUGAUUCAAAUUCCCACCAUGACUAAUUCAAUUUCUCAUAAUCCUAGAAACUCAAGGUCAGAAAUUUUCUAGUCAGGCAGAGUUACAAAAAAGAGGCUAACCUGCUCAUCUGCCUCCCUCUUUUUUUCAAUCUCAUUCUUAUUAAAACAGGUUAUCAAAAAAAAAAAAAAAAAAAAAACACAAAAACACUUUUUUGACAUCCAUCUGAGAAAUCCCAAAAUAUGUGAUAUAAACAUGGCAGCUCAAAACCAUAUUCCAUGCAAAAACAGAAGAAAAGAGAUAUAUGCUUUCAUAGUUACAACAAUGCUACCACUCUUUUUCACAUACAUCUGAGAAAUCCCAAAACAUGUGAUAUAAAAAUACAAUCUAUGCGCCACUACUCCUAAACUGUUCAUUCCUUCUCAAUUUUUGACUGAACGAUACUGAGAAAAUGGGGCAUUUGUUCUAACCAAGCAUUCCUUUGCAAUAGCAGAAUUCUCUGAAAACCACCUUCCUUCUUCUUCUUUUUUCUUUUUCUUUUUCUUUUCUUUUUUUUUUUUUUUCUGAUGGGCAAUUUUCUUAAUUUCAUACUCUGAAAACCAAAGAUCAUCUCAUCUAUACAUUUUCUAACCUCUUUCAUUUUAAUAUCCAUUAACAGAUUUGUAUGAGCAUUUUUGGCAGUAAGGAGGUAUAUUCUUCCCUAGUUUUGCAUAUAAAAAUAUUAGUAUUUGCAAGAGAAUGUGCACACAUUAAAAAAUUGACUCACCUCACCCCCUGCAAUGUGCAGGAGGAACUUAUCCUCAAAUUCACGGCAAAGUUCCAAAGCUAUAGCCCUAGUGCCUUCAGAACUAUGGACCAUUUGUUCACCAAGCCUUGCUAACUCAUCCCCAACUAUUUGGGACUUUCCUUGUAACCUACAGAAGGGUAAAGAAAUGGAGAUAUUAGGAACUCAAGGAGAAUAACUGCCAUAGUCCAGAGACGAAAAAUCUAUAUGUGUUCCUGAGCUGUGGUAUCAGAAGAAGUUUAUGACCAACUGAUUAGAAAUGAGGUAUCAUAUCAAAGUUGUAGUAGUACACUGAGAUAUGGAAUUGUUAACAAAUGAAAACCUAUCCGAUGCAAUGGGUCAAGUGGGAUGUGAGCAGCACUCUACAAUGCAAAUACUCACAGAACUUGAAUCAGAAAAUACUAUUGUACAAGAGAGGCAAAUAUGAUUACCAACCUACAGCUUCAGUAAGUUAGAAAAUUUGUUUUAUCAUUUUUACAUAUUUUAAAACACAAAAUCGCUUGGUGAACAUUGUCUUUGAAAAGAUGUCUAUGAAGAAAUUUUCAGUCACUUAUCUUACAUCCUAAAUCCAUUAUUUAAAAAUUGUUUUUUAAAAAAAUAAACUAUAUAGAGGCAAUGCUUUUAUCAUACAAAGUAACCAUAUUUCAGUAAGUUAGAAAAUUUGUUUUAUCAUUUUUACAUAUUUUAAAACACAAAAUCGCUUGCUGAACAUUGUCUUUGAAAAGAUGUCUAUGAAGAAAUUCUCAGUCACUUAUCUUACAUCCUAAAUCCAUUAUUUAAAAAUUGUUUUUUUAAAAAAUAAACUAUAUAGAGGCAAUGCUUUUAUCAUACAAAGUAACCAUAUUUCAGUAAAAAAAAAAUGACGGAAGCUCAAAAAAAAGGGACAUUACAUGAAAAGAAAAAAGAAGAGAACCAGUAGAAAAGACAAAAGAAAAAAAUAUAUAUUGAACAAUUUCUCGAAAACAUGUACCCAGAAAGGAGGUUUGGAAGUCGGACUUUCAUACGACUGCGUAUCUGCUGAGCCAGGGCAUCCACUAAAGCUAUUCUCCCAAGCUUACUUUGAGGGGCUCCCGUCAGUAUGGAUUUAAGACUCUCACUCUCAGCCCUCCAAGCAGUUUCUAACGAGUUCUCAGAACCAACAGAUCCAGACUGUGCAGAGGCAAUUGAAACAGAUUGCCCAAUUAAAGCAACCCAUGGCAUUUCAGAUGUACUUCUAGGACCCUGAUUUAACAGGAGAGCCUGAACAGCAGCAAGGAUUUUCUGGUCUGAUGCAGCUUGAUCUAUUUUACUAAUUACACCGAUUGUUCUUGUACCUACAUACAAAUAAAUUAAUUAAUUAGAUAAGAAAAAAAAAUGAAUAGAAAACUCAUUUUAAAAAAUAUUGAGAUUACCAUCUCCAUCAUAUUCCUUGGCAAUUUUGAGAGCUCGAGAUGAAGCAAUUUCGGGUGCCUGGGCAGCAGGUACAAUAACCAGCAAAAUGGCAUCAUUGUGCUGAGCAUAGUCACUCACCUAAAACAAGAGGACCAGCCAAAGCAUUAUUAACACUAUUAUUUAUGGCUUUGAGCAUACAAAUUUAGCAUCCAUCAUAUACAAUAAGUAGACUAGGUAAUCAUAUCACCAAGAAUACUAAAGAGAAAUCAAUAAGAUAAACUGAUAAACUGAUGCGAGACCACAUCCACUCCCAAAAGCUUAAGCUAAUGGGGGGUAGAGGUAGCCCCACACAUAAGGCCCAACCAAUACCGGUAAUUAACUAAUGUAGAACAUUGGACUUCCGUUUGUCCUACAUCAGACACCCUCACUCAAUUGUUGAAGCCCACAUCAGCAAGCACAAGGUGAGCUUGGCCAAACCUCACUUUAAUACCAAAUGAUAUGGGACCACAUACACUCCCAAAAGCUUAAGCUAAUGGGGGUAUUAGUCCCACAUAUAACGUCCAACCAACAUUGGUAAUCAACUGAUGUGAGACAUUAGACUUUUGUCCGUCUUACAUAAAUGCUCAGCCAUACAUAAAUCUCUAAAUUGUGAUGUGGAAUAGAACAAUAGCCACCACUUACCAAUGUCUCAUCCAUAAUCCGUUGAUCCAAUCCAGGCAAAUCAACCAGUUUCAGAGGAGGUGCUGUGAAUAAAUCGUGUUAGAUUAGAAAUUAAAGAACUAGACCAAAUGAACAAACUAAAAAUUAUAUGUAAAAAGCCAAUGAUCUCAAACUAAAGUUGAAGUUAACUUGUAAUCAUUUUUUUAAGAAAGAAAAUGCAAUCAACAAUAGACUGCCUACAUGUGCACAUUGCUAAAACUUUUUUCCAGUCUAUAUAAGGCAAGCAAUGCAAAGGACCAUAUCAGCAUUCAGGGCUUACCAGACAAUAAUUCUUGUUACUAAACUAUCUAGUUGUAGUUAUGUUACUCUAAUUGCACAUGCUUCCACAGAAGGUAACUCCAUAUACUUGCAUUUCCAAAUUUCAUGUAUAUCCCUAAGCUAAGUGAAUGCUAUUAAUGCAAUACUUACAAAAGUUUAUAUACAAUUCCAAUUUGAUAAUAAUGCAAUCUCUCAGAAAACUAAGCUAUAGAACCCACACAUCUAUCCAAUGAUUAAUAAGAAAAGACUCCAAACCAUCCAAUAUUACCAACCUGUACUUGUCCGUAGCUUCAAAUAUAUUUCAUCUCGGCUCUUGCCUGAGGCACCCUUACUCAGCCUGUCCUGGAGAGAAUGUCGAAGAGCACCUGUAAUAAGACAAACAGAGAAGUUAAAUAACAACCAUAACAAUCCAAUAAUGCAUUUUCAAGGUUCUUCAUAAAUCAAGAAUGCAUCCAAAUGGAAAGCUAAUUAUUAAACUCAACCAUGGUGCAAAUUCAGAAAUCUCCCCUCAUGCUACUGGCUAUAUGCCUGACCUUCUAUGUCAGUAUGCUUUUGCCUUCAAAUCUAACAGCCUUUAACACCUUAACUUCAUGCACUUAAACAUUCUUAUUGUCCCUAAUUUUUCAAACAAGCAGAAAAUAGUGUUAUAUUUUUAUCGCAUGGUCAACUUUUCUCAAAUCACUACAUAAGUGAUACCAAUAUCAUAAAGUUAACCUAAAGGAAAAUUGGAAAUAACUAUAAAUAAUAAUGGAAUUCAAUUCAAUGGGUUUCAUUAAGUUACACUUUGAUAGGUUUGCUCUAAGUAACCCCAGCCAGCUAGGAAUUUGAGGUGUGAUUUGGGAUCACCAUUAUAAAGUAUUGAAAGCCUUCUCUAAACCAGUUUGAGAGGGAUUGGCUGAGAUAGAGAUUUUAGCUCCUUUGGAGGGUUGUCACAAGCCAAGGUUUGGAAAUACAACAUGUGGCUUCUUUGAAUCCUAGAUCUACCUAGCACCUUUGGUUGUUCCUUCUCUUGGUCCCUAUGUUCAGUUAAUGAUAUUUCGGAUCAAUUAGACAGAACGUGGAGCCAACCAAAUGGUUCCUUUUGUAAGGGAUUUUUUACUCCUUUGAGUUGCAUAUUGUUGGCAUAUUAUGUACAGUUUCUAGUUUAAUCCUUGAUUUGUAUAGCUAUCUUACUCCUUUUGUUAGGUAUUCCCUUUUUUUAUCAUCCUUUGUAUUUUUGGAAGGAUUUCUCAUCCUUUGCUUGUGCUUAAAAUUCAUGGUUUUUCUUUUUUUGUAAGUUUUAAUAAUGAAAAAAAAAAUUAAUCAGAAUUCCAUUAUGUCAUCAUAAGACCAGUGAAGGUUUCUCAUACUAAGGUUCAAUGAAAAAAUAAGCCAUGUUAAAUCACUAAGCCCCUGAAGACAAAGGUUACAUGGAGUUUAUUAAAAGUACUAACUUGCAGAAACUUGUUGAGAUUUGUUGUCAAUUUGUAAGAUGAUUGACUUGCUGCUUAGGGAACCAUCCUUUUGUAAAUCAAUACAUAUUGGAGCCCGAGUAGCACCAUUUUCUCCAGUAGGCUGGAUGAAAAAAAAGGAAAGAAAUGUCAGGAUAAACAAAAAAACUUUAAUCAACUCCCAUGAGUAAAGAUGUGCAAAAUCACACAAAGGAAUGUAACUUACCAAAACAGGAUGUCCAAUCAAACUGUUCAAAACUGCAGAUUUACCAGCACCCUAAGUAAUUAGUGCAGAAACAGGGAAAAAACUAUCAGGAUCUUCAUAGAACCAAAAACUACUGUUGCAUAAUACAAGCAUACUUAAGAAACAAAAAACAGAAAAAUAAGAUCCAUUCAGCAAUUCAAUUAAUCAAUUUCAACACUCAUAAAACAAGUACCACAUGAUCAAGCCAUACUACCUUAAUUAGGCUCUCACACCUCCUAGUCAGCUGAUAAAAAUUCUUGGGGACCAUUAUCGUGAUUGAGGAUUCAGUAGUGAAACAAACCAUCAAGAGAGAAAAGACUUUAAGUCCACACAAAAUGGAGUAAAUCUCAUGAAGCUCAUUCACGGAAGUUCUAAAAUUCUUUCUACCUGAUGAAACAAUAACCUUUAAAUGGAAAGGUUUCAUGAUGCCUUUUCCUAAUCAUCAAAAAAUUCAGCAAUAAAACCUUCCAAAAUAGCAGAAAUGUGAAAGAGGGCAUACUAAGGCUUGCUUGAAUAAAUUUUUCCAAAUGGAAAAUGCUUUUAUCUUUUUCUAGUAAUCUCUAACCACUAAGUGAAAAAUGCCCCAGGCAAUCUAUGAGCAAAUGAUGAACUCUCUUAGUCACAAAACAGACAUGUUACAGAAAAAAGGCUUUAGGCAUCUCUUUCUUUGAAGCUUGCCACAAGCAACCAUCCAAGCUAUGGCUUUUUUUACUUACAAGGCCUUUCUCAGAUCCAAGUUAAUCGAGAGGAAAAAGGUAGUCAUCAUGAUAGGUGAAAAAUAAUUAAAAACGGGACUUCUACAUCUAAUCUUGUCAGGCCAACAAUAUGGCUAGUCUGAUGAAUAAUUCCUCUCCUCUAACCUUCCUACAUCUAUAGUAAAGCUGACUAGGAACAACAGUAUGUAGGACAAUAAGGCCAUAUGAUGAACAAUGAACGUAGAUUCCAAUAAAUGACUCCAGCUUCUAACCCAGUUUAGCUAAAGCAUAAAGCGCAAGUGUUAUAUGGUACUCUACUGAUUCAACUCAGAAGGCACUUGUGAUAUCCCAGACUAACACAGAGGGGAAUUCUGAUGACAAGGAUGGGAAGAAGGUAUCAAGAAGGCCCCUACAUCCUAUUGUUGGCUCACAAUGAAGUAGGAGUUCACUUCAUAUCUUCCUCCUCUCCUAAUCUUCAAACUAUUACUUUUUGGAAAUAAUAAGUGGGUUCUUUGGCAGGCCAAUGUUCUUUGGUGCACCUUCAGUUAGGGCUUUUGGUAUAUUUUUUUCAUUUCAAUAUGUGUGUGUGUGUGUGUGUGGAUUACCUUUCUCAGUUCAAGGAAUAAAUUGUAUCAAGAUCAUCACCACCUGGACAACUUCAUCAAUCAUGCCUUUACUUGUAGCAAUCUAGCUUCUAAAAAAAUGUAUCCGUUUACAACUCUAUCAUUUCUUGCAUUUCUGUCAAUCCAUUUCAACGCAUUCACAUUGGAUACAUUCAUAUCUUGAACAAUUUAGUGAUUACCUAACUAAAAUCUUGUGUCCAGACCCAUUGGUGGCCUCAUAUUGGUCUAAGAAGAUUCUUCCCCUUUUUUUGAUAAAAGAUUCUUCCCUUUAACUAGAUAGACAUUCAAUUACCAGUUACUCUCAGAUGCAGUUCUCCACUUCAUUCAUCCUACUCUUUAAUUGUAUGAGCAAAGUCCCAAAUUACCCACCCUGACAGGCAAUCUGUCCAAUGUAACAAAAAUGGGCACCUUUGGGCAUCUCUUUUCCAUUGAUUUCCAAAACAUCCUGAUUUCUACUUCUAGUUAUGAAAUUAAGCUCCAAUACUCCAUAUAAAUACAUGCAUUAAUUCUGCUUAACCAUAAGCCUUUAUGUUCUAAAGCAUCCAUCUCAAGGUUCAUCAACUAGAACUUUAUCAAAUUUUUUGGUAACGUUUUUUUGGCUAAUUCAAACAAGCAUGGAACCAUAUCCCCACUCUUAUCUCUUGCCUCUUGAUCCAACAUGAGGGGCUUCAAGUAAAAGCACCACAUGCAUAAAGAACAUAUACGAAUGGAAAUUUGAACAUCUACCUGACUAAAAUCUUGUGUCCAAACCCAUCAGUGGCCUCAUAGUGGUCUAAGAAGAUUCUUACCUUUCAUUCAUCCUACUCUCUAAUUGUACGAGCGAAGUCCCAAAUAACCCACCCUUCUAGACAAUCUGUCCAACGUAACAGGCCACCUUUGGGCAUCUCUUUUCCAUUGAUUUCCAAUACAUCCUGAUUUCUACUUCUAGUCAUGAAAUUAAGCUCCAAUACUCCAUAUAAAAUCAUGUGUUAGUCCUGCUUAACCAUAACCCUUUAUGUUCUAAAGCAUCCCUCUCAAGGUUCAUCAACUAGAACAUUAUCAAAUUUUUAGGUAACAUUUUUUUGGCUAAUUCAAACAAUCAUGGAACCCCCAUAUCCCCACUCUUACCCCUUGCCACUUGGUCCAACCAUGAGGAGCAUCAAAUAAAAUUACAAAAUGCUUAAAGAACAUAUAGGAAUGGAAAUUUGAGAAACAAGGAAAAAAAAAACACAAAAUUCGUAUCAUUUUACCCUAAAUCCUAGGGAGAACACAAUUUAUAGAUUCAAAUUCCAUUGUUCGUCCAAAAGUUACAGUGUCAAGAAGUUAACGGAGUAUAAUGCAAACAACGUUUUCUUUCUCACCUUUAACCGUUCUCACAUACCAAAAACGCAUUCUUCCCUUGUCCUUAACAUUAAGGAAAUGAAAAAAUAAAGUAGAUGAAAGUUUUGAAUCCUAGAUUUUAAUUUAUUUAGAACUCGACUUCUCAUAUAAUGAGAUGACUUUUUCUACUUUUCUCCACCUUAGUUUUUGUAUCCGAAACCAAUACAACAUAAAACAUAAGAUUCAAAAUUCCAUUCCCCCCACUUUUCAAACAACCAAAUAGAGCUAAAAACAUCUCUCUUUUUCAGAACUUAAUCCCAUUGAAUACCAACGCCAUCAACAACCAAAAAAUAGCCAGAUCCAAAGAUCCAUCACUCCGAAUACAUAAAUCAAAAUUCAACCACCAAAAUAAAAUCACACUAAAUCAAUAAUAACAUCCACAAAUACAAAUCCACAGUCCAGACAGAUACUACAAAAGGACAGAUUAACUUACGACAUUUCCAAGAGCCACAACGUUAAGAAAAGUCGAACCCCUGCGAGAAGAACUGGAACUCGAAUUCUCGUCCACAUCUUCAUCCGCCAGCAGCGCCGCGGCCUGGCGCAUAGACUCUGACAGCUGCACGAGCUCGUCGAUCGCCUCCAUGAGAUCAACCAAACAAUCAAACAAUCCAACAAUCAAUCAAACCCUGGGUGAAUUCGGAGCCGAGAUCGAGGAGAUCGAAGCAACAACUGGAACAGACAAAAUCAAAACCCUAGGUUGAAAAUUCAACGAAGACAAACAAAAAAAAAACAAUAGCAGAAAUCGGAGAUCUGCGUGGAUCGAGGCGCGAGAGAUUGGGAGACUUUGAGAUUCAGAGAAUCGAGAGGUUCCGGGAGAAAAAAAAAGUUAAACGUAAACGAAGAAGCCCCCUCUCUCUCCUCUCCUUCUCUCUCUUGAUUUGAAUGUUUGUUCCACUCUCUCGCGUUUUGAAUUCAAUGUAUUUUUGUCUAACUCGUUUUGAUUUUUUUCCUUUCUUUUUUUUUUUUUUUAAUUCUCUUUUUCAACUCUCUGUUCUUUAUUGGGUUCGGUUUCACUGAUUUUCCUUUGUCGUUAAGGAAAUGGUAUCCAAGUCUAUAGCCCCAAGCCCAAGCUCAUACCAAAAGAAUGUAUAGUGUUUAAACGUUCAUAUAUUUUGGCUUUUUCUUUAUUAUUUUAUUUUUCCUUUUUAUCUUUUUUCACUAACGUUCUAAAAUUUAUGAGCAGCUGUUUUUAGUCUUACAUAAUUUCUUUAAUAGUAAAAACGAACUAAUUUUGACGUUGUACAUGGAGAAAACGUGGAUGGGUUAAUGGAUUUUUCAUUUAUUAUUACCAUAUUUUAUUAAUUAACUUAAAAAGGUCAUGAAAAAUGAUAAUAUAUUAAAAUUGCAUUAACGAGUAUUUGGAAGUGUUUUUAGUCAUCUCUACAUGUUUAAUUUUUUAAAAACAUUAUUUAAAUUUUAUUAAACAUUUAAUUAUUUUUAAAAAGUGUUUUCUAAAAACAUUAUCCAAUUAUCUUUAAAUUACUCAUAAGAGACAAAUAAGUAAAUCUAAUUACGUAUUUGAGUACAGUUUUCUCAUGACUAUCUUGUUGACUUGUUAUCCAUCAUAUCACUCCAAUCACUAGUCGUGUUUUAAGCAUUUUCGUCUAUAUAAUUAAGAUAACAAUUUUGAGUAUGGUCAGUUGUCAUAAUAUGGGGAAUGAUUUGUAUAAGGUCGGAUAAUGAUUUCAUUGAUUGAUCACUAAUUAUUAAUUAUUCUAGUUUCAUAGAAACGAGUUGCAACUUUGCAAUUCAAAUGGAGAAGAUGUUUUUUUUUGUUUAAGAGGUUUAAAACUGUUUCGUUAUACAAAUGAUGUGUUUAAUAUAUUUUUAAAAGCUUCAUCCAUGUAUAAUUACUUAGAAGCGAUUAUUUCUCUUCUUUUUUUUUUUUGUGUUAUACGACAUACUAUAAAAAAUGCUAUAUGAUUAUUUUAAAAAUAAUAAUAGAAAAAACUCUUUUAUUAAAAAUACUUUAAAUAAAAACAUUAUGAAAUACGGUCUUAGAAAUUGGUAAUUACUUUAUAGAACUAGUUUUAGUAGGUGAAUUGAUAUAGGGAGAGGUGAUUGUGUAAAUGCCUCUUUCCAAUAAUUGAUGGAAAAAGAUACAAUGAAAGAGGGGAUGAAACCCAAGUGGAGGCCUAAUGGGAAAUAACAUAAAUAAUUAUUUCCUACUAAGAAAAUAAAUAAAAUAAAAUAAAAUAAAAUAAAAUAAUCUUAAUCAUAUAUGGUGAUGGUCCAUUGAUAAUAUCAAGUUCCUUCUUCAACUUGUUUUUGCCUAUAAUCAUUUUCCUUUGGUUCACUAACAAUUAUUUUUCUCUUCAUGCAUUACUCUUUUGUGAUGAUAUGGAAUAAUAUAACUUUCUACUAGACAUGUGAUAUAGAUUUAACAUAGUUGUAAUUUUCAAUGAAGUAUUUUUUUUUUUAACCUCUAUUUGCAAAAUGACAAACUUCUAAGAUUUUAAUAUCGAAUAUGUGAAGAAAAAAAAUUAAACUCUUUUAUUUUUUAGGUAGGGUGAAAUAGUAAAAAAUUUAGACAUUCAUACGUCGAUAAUCCAAAAACAUAACCCUAGUGAGAUAACGUGAAACCAAAUCCAUCGAAUUUUGUAUAUCGUAAAAAUCAUAAUAGUGAAAUUCAAAUCAUAUAACCUUUAUAAUGUGUAUGCUAAUUAAAUUAAUUCCCCAAAAAUAAAAGUAUAGAAAUUAAAGGAUAAUUGAAAUAUCAACUUCUAACGAUCAAAUUGAUUAGUACAUAUCAUGCACACAAAAACAUGAUGAAAGAUAAAAUCAGUGACUCUAAGAUGGCUAGAUUGAAUCUUCUAUAGGAUGGUGUUGUACAUUUUGACUACAUGUCAUUCCAUCUAAAUACUAUGCAAGAGCAAUUAGCCAAACUAAAAUAAAUAAAUAAAUAAAUUGCACAAAAAUAUAAGAUGGGUUUGAUAAGACAUUUGAAAACCAUUAUAAAAAAAUAGUUUAAAAAAAUGGUUCUCAAUUAUUCAUAAGAACAAUAUUUUAUUCAAUAAAUCAAAUAUAAAAAACAAUUUUAUCUCUUUAUUUUCUAAAAAUAUAGUUUAUUUAUAUACUAUAAAAAUUUUCAAAAUAUUCUUCUUAUUUUCGAUUGUUACUCACCGCAUUUUAUGAAAAAUAAUUGAAAACGUUUCAAAUUUAUUAUAAAAAGCAAUUUUUUAUUCCUUAAAAUAGAAAAUUAUUUUCAAAAAUAAUUUCUAUCUCAAUAAGUUUCUAAUAAAGAAAGCAAGUCUAUAAACAAAGAUAUUAUUAUUACAAAAGGAAAGUACCUUUAAAAAUCAAAGAAAGAAUUUUCAAAUAUAUAUAUAUGAGUAUGUAUGAGUUGGUAAGGUGCCAAGAAAUAAUGAUAGAAGGUUCUUUUGGUUCAAAGGUUCCUUGUGAUAUUCAAUAAGGUCGGUGUUUGAAAUAUCGAGGGACCACCUGAAAUAGUGUUGGUUGCUUGUCCCUGUCACAAAGUGACUUUGUAAAUUGGGUGUAGAUCUAAAAAGGGAAUUGGCCUCUAGCCGCCCGACCCAUUAGCUGUUUGAAUUUAAAUUUUGUAUCAUUGAGUUUGGCCCCAAAACAAUGGAGUUGAGCCAAAAUGGAUGAUGAAAAACAUGGUUGUUGAUGUCUUUUUUUUUUUUGAAAAUUUUAAAAUAUAUUUUUCUUCUUUAAAAUAGAAAAUAAUCUUAAUAUAUAUAUGUUUGGAAUUAAUUUUGAAAACAUUUUUUUAACUUAAAAAAAAAAGAAGAAAAUACAUUUUUCUAAUUUUGAAAAUAGUUUUUUUGAUAACGCAGUAAGACUACUUGAAUCAUGACUAAAACCUGAAUAAUUCUAAUUAAAUUUUUUAAUGAAAUAAAAUUUCUAAUUAAAUUCAAACUAACUAAUUAAAUGAGUGAAUAUAAUUUUAAAAAAUAUUAACACUAUAUAAUUUUUUUGAAAAUACAUAUAUGAAAUAAAAAAAAUGUUUAAUUUUUCUAAAUCAAUCAAUGCUAAUUACCUCCAAUGACUAUAAUUUAAAUUUUGUAAAUAAUAAUAUUAUAUUAUUAUAUGGGGAAAUAAUAUUAAUAUUAUGUGAUAAAAAAUAAGGCUUUGUCAUAAACUAUAGGAAUAACUUUAAUAAUUGGCAUAUCUGAUUCUAAAUCCAUCACAAACUUUAGUGACUAUAUUAUCACAUAAUAUUAGAAAUUAAAUUCAAAUGAUUUGUCUUAGAGGCCCUCAUAAAAUGCCCAAUGUUGCUUGUUUCUUAUUGAAAUUAAUGUCAACUUUGAUAUCAUUUUUAACUUUUUAUAAUGUGAAAAAAAGUUAUGGUACAACAUAUUCACAUUGCAACAAAAUAUUGUUUAACGUCAUCAUCACUUUGAAUGUUUCUCUACACGAAACAGACUUAGUAGUAAAAGCAUCAUCUUGAACUUUGGCCUCCCCAUCAGUUUUUAUGAGUCCCAAUAAUAUGUUUAUUAUUCAAAAUCUAUGAAGUUGUAUGGUUUUCUUUGCGAUAGUUGAAAAGGUGCUUGAAGUCCAUUCCAUUAACACAUUGCAACUCUUUGAUUGGUAUUUUCAACUCUCGAAUGUCUUCACCAUCUAAGGGUUUACCCAAAUUCUUUGAAAUCAUGUUAUCCAUGGAUCUAAUAUUACGAUGUUGAAAAAAUUUGCAAUUGUAUUUGUCUAAACAUGCAUUGUCGAAGCCAAAAUUGCAAAAUUUAUUACAUCUAGAACAUUUUCUCUUUUUAUUUUUGUUUUUUUUUUUGGAAUUUGUUUGUCACACUUCAUAUUUCUCCAUAAUAUUCAGAUAAAGACAAAGAUGAUACAUCUUGAAAGCUUCUAUGAUUCUUGUCAGUUAAGUUUUAGAUAUUAUAUGGAACGGUAAAAAAAAGUAAUUUCAUAUUUUUCAAUCCUUCAAUUUUUAGAUGAGUAGUAUAAUUAUCAACAAGUAAAAUAACUUUUUUACCAUCCAUUUGUCUGUCAAAUCAUUAAAUAUAUUCUUAAAAUAAUGCAUAGUCAUCCAAGCUUAUUUGUUAGUAUGAUACUCACACUUUGUAAAUUUAUAUUCUUGAAAUAUUAUGAUUUAUCAUACUUUCCGUGAAUCCAUAAACGGAUUUUCUAAACCAUCCUUGUUACAAUAAACAAUAAUUAAGUCUGUCCUUAUCUUACUUUUCUCAUCCACAUUAAAAAUAUAUUUAAUUGCAAAUUGAUUACUUUCUUCCUAAUAGAUUGCAUCUCGCUUCAUGCCCUCCAUAUCAACUAAUCUGUUUUCUCCAAAAUGGUGAUAUAACCAUCAUAGCAUUUACUUCUGGCAUUGAUUUUAGGUCCCAUGUAAUCACUUUUAUAAUGACUUUUUAUAAUUAAAGUAUUUAGUAAAAUAAAUAAAAAGUAAUUACAAAAAUAUCCAACUUUGAAGUGAGAUCAAAACUAAUUUUUAGAAAUGUAUUUUGAUAUAUUUUAUUUUUAUAUUGUCAAUUAUUAACGUAAAUAAAAAAUGUUAUAAAUAUUGUGAACACAAACUAAUUUAACCUAAGUUUUUGCCUAAGAGAGAAAGUGAAUUGGGCGUUGGUUGUAUUUUAAAAAAUUUGAUCAAUUUUAACAACUUAAGAAUAAGAUGAAUGCAAUGUAAUAAUUAAUAUUAACAAUAAAUAAGGAGAGAUGAGAAGGAAUAAACGAUAUUUAUAAUGGUUCGAUAAUUUAUUUACGUCCACUUCAUCCAACUUCGAGAGUUUUCACGUUCUUUAUGCUUGAAUUUUAAUGUUUCAAUGAACCUCUAUAUUACACUAUAGGAUAUCUUUCACUUCCCUUUUUGCUUUCUUGUUAAUGCAAGCGGUUAGAACUAAGAUAAUAAAGAGAGAAAGAAGUGAGAAAGAGGGAAAGAAAUUACUCAAAUUCAAUCUAGAAGAAAUCCUCUGUUUUGGUUUACGGAGCAAACCUCAAGAUUUAUAUUACAAUAGUUUCUUCUCACUAACUAACUUGCUUACACGUGUACAACACUAACAAUAUGUUAAUAGCAAUUUAACAUCCUCUUAACGGCUAACAAACUAACAGCUUAGUAAACUAACAGUUAACAACUUAUUAUUUUAUAAUCCUAACACAAGCUAAUACAAAGAAAAUUAAGUCAAGUCAAGGUAAUUUUUACAAGACUUAACACUUACGCAAAUGGAAUAUCAUAAUAGAACUUGGUUAGGAUCUGAAGGGUGUAAUCAAUGAUUUGCAAACUUGAAAUUAGAUGCACUCCUUUAUGAUUUUGAUACUCUCAUAAGGGACAAGAUUCAAUUUUGGAUCGUUGGAGAUUAAUAAAUAAGAGUUAAGAAAUUUAUAUAAAAACAAAAGUCAAUUAAUCAUUAGAAACAAUUUCCCUAAACUCCGAUCAAUCCUCUUGGUCUAGUUAGUCUUCAUGCAAUUAGGUGACCAUUGAGAAACAUAUCUGCUCAAUUGAUCCAUCGUCCCAUGGCAACCCAUUCGGCCACGUGCUGGGGCACCAUUGUUUGUAUCUUUGGUCCCUGCUCCAUUAAGCUCCGAUUCUCAAAAUACAACACAUUCUCCUUGAGGCUUAUUUGAAUAUCAAGGUUUCAAAACUAACAUUUUGAAGUUGUAAACCGAACUACUAAGAACAUCCCGUUUUCAAAACUUCAAAAAAUAGUUUUAACAACCACCGGUUUGAUGGAAGUAUUUUUUCUAAAGUGUUUUUAAAAGUAUCAUCCAUCCGAUGUUACAUCGGAAAAACAUUAUUAUACAUGGUUUUUCAACUCUAUUAUUAAUUUUUCAAUUUUUUAAAAAUAUUUUUUAAAUUUUAUCAAACAUGUAAAGUAUGUUUGACGUAAUUUUAAAAAGUACUUUUAACAUCUUUAAUAUUUAAAAGAUAAAAUUUUUUAAAGUAUUAGAAAAUUAGAAACAUUUUCUAAAAUCACUGUUAAACGUAUUUUUAAAAUUAAUUUGAUUGUGAUUUUAGGAAACACUUUUAACAUUUUUAAUACUUAAGAAUUUUUAGUUUUUAAAUAUUAUAAAAAUUGAAAUAUUUCCAAAAAUCAUUAUCAAAUACAUUCUAUUUUGUUUUUUUAAAAAACAAAUUUUAAUUUAAAUGCGCUUCCUAUAAUUAUUGUGAAAGACAAUCUAAAUUUAGAAUCAAAAUGAAUAAAUAUUGAACUACUUUUUGAAAUAAUUGAUUUUUUAAAUACCAUUAAAAAUGUUUUUUUUAAAAAGCUACCAUAAAAAUAAAUUCACCUAUCAUGAAAUUAAAAAUUGAUUAAUUUCAUCUAAGUUUAUUUUUAUUUUCAAAAUAAAUUUUAAAAAAUGGGUACCUUCUUUAUGGCUCUCUUUUUAGAAUUUGAUUAUCCAAACAAAAGUAAGCUAAAUUUAAAAUGAAAGUAAAAAUAAAAAAAUCAAUAUCUGUAAUCUUUUAUUCUUUUAAACAAACCAAUAAUAUAAUUGCUUCAUUUGUGGAUACUAAAUCAUGCUAUAGUCCGUAAUGAAAAAAUUUAUUUAUAUAUUCUCAAGGUACAACUAAAACAAGCACCAGGUUACAAGGUACAACACUAUAACGUCCAAUCCCAUCAGCACCCACCGCCACUGGAGAACCCGUAUAAAUUUCCAGAACCUUCAACUUCGUCGCAAGCCUUCAAUCGAUUCAGAGGGACAUAGAGUCCUCAAAACGAAACGUUUUGCGGAGAGCACACUAUGUUUAAGAAAUCGUUGGAGGCGAAGUCGCAGCAGCGGUUGUCCGGCGCAGACCGCAAAAAGCUGAAGCGAACAAUCAAAGAGCGAUUUCGUAACGCCUCCGAUUCUGAAAUCGAUUCGAUUCUUCCUCCUAAGGUAUACGAAAUUGCUUCUAUUUGGUUUUGUAUCUGGUUUAUUUGAUCAAUUCGAUGUGUUAGAGUGGUUAGUUGUCUGUUUGGCUGUUCAGAAAAUGCUGUGAAGUGAAAAUAUUUUAUUUUUGAUUUGGAAACUACCGUUUCUUUGAAUUUGAAACUGGAUUAUGCGUUUUGUGGUGUUUAAGUAUUGAAUAAUGACUGAAUUGGAUACUCGGGUUGUUGGUUGCUUACACCGUGGUUUGAAUGGAGGAAAGGAAAGGAAAUUUGGAGAGGAUUUGGAACCAAAUUGCUGACAUUGUGGUAUAUAACUGAAUGAUUGUUAGAAAGGAAUUCAAUUAAUGGAAGGGAAAUGAGAUCAAUUGGAUUGCUUAUCAUUUGAUGAAACUGAAAUGUGAAUGAUUCUUUAUGUUCGUCUUGAUUGGCACUAGAGGAGACUGAAAUGAAGAUGCUUUUUUUUUUUUUUUUUAAUACUUGUUUAAUCAUUAUUCUCUACCUUUGAGAAGCACUAUUGUUGAAUAAAUGUAGAAGAACUAAAGCAAUUUAUUUUCAAUAAUAAUUUAUACACUUUUAAAAAAUAUUUAUAUAAGUUAAAUAGUUGUUAUUAGUUAGUUAAGAGUAUCAACAUAGCUAUCAUAAAACAUGAAUACUAUUAUUUGCAAUCAACUAAUCAACUCUUAUAAAUAGCAGUAAUGCUUAAAAUAUCCUCAUUUUUUUACUCAAGUAUCAAAGCAAAUUGCUCGAGUUAAGACAUUUUAGAGUUGUUCAUUUUAACUCUUAUAAAUAGCAGCAAUGCCUAAAAUAUUCUCAUUUUUUACUCAAGUAUCAAAGCAAAUUGCUUAAGAGUUGAGACAUUUUAGAGUUGUUUGUUUUUUUUUACUUAUCACUUCUUCAAGACAAUUUUAUUUUAACAGAAAAAAUGAUUUUUUUUUAAUAAUUUGAUCAAAAAGUUACUUUUUCUCCCUUCUAUUUUCAACCUUUAACUUUGUUAUAAUACCCUCCAAUUUCUCACAUAAAAUAAAACUGGGUUCAUUUUUGAAAAUUUUGGAUAACUCUUGUUUUAAAAACUAAUUAAUCUGCCUUAAUUUCUUGCAAUUUGAAUAAAAAAUGAAUUUAGCAUAAAUUAGCAAAAUUGUCAUCCACAAAAAAACUGAAAAUGAAAAUAGCUUUUAUUUUUGUUUUAUUUUUUUUCUCUUGUUUCCUAAUAAAUUGGAUCUAAAAAUUCAAAUUAAUUUUAAAGGUCACAAAAUUCCAAAUCAAAACAGAAAUUCUACUACUUGUAGCAAUUAUUUUUGCUCAAAAUUCAUCCAAUUUUCAAUGAAAUUAUAUUCCAUAAAUCUAUGUAGACUUCUCAUUCAAAAAUGAAAAUAAACAACACUAGAAAUAAGAAAUUUCUGUUUAGAAAUGAAUUUACUACAAAUUUUCAAAGUUCAACUUCUUGCUGUACAAUAAGACCAAAAUAAAUUAACAUGUAAAAAUAAAUAUAUUUAACACUUCACAGUAUUUGGACACUAAUAAAAGUCAACAACUUAACAUUUAACAACAUUGACAUUAGUAAAAAUCAAAUGGUCUAAAUACUUAAUGUUUAGUUCUAUUUGGAUUUAAGUCAAAUUCAAAUAUAUUAUUCAGACAAUGAAACAAACACCACCUAAAUGAAGGAACAAACCCUAAUCCUAUUUAAUUUCUCAGUCCAAGGUAUCAAGUCAAACUGACUUUUGAAUUCAUGGGAAGUGAUACUUAGUGGCAACAAUGCAUUUUUCAUUGCAAACAAUGUUUAUGCAAAACUCGGAACACCAGCUAUGGAGCUUCAAAAUCUGUUAAAUGAAAAAAAAAAAAAAAAAUGAAGAAAAUCUAAUAGAUCAUAAUUCAGCUAAUUUGGCAUGAUAAAUCAAAAGAGAUAGAGAAGAUGAUGGCGGAGAGGGAGGAAAAACAUACCAACCUAGGUAAACAAAGAAUGGUGGUGGUAGUUUGGAAAAUUGGGAUUUUAUUUAAAUUUCAAAUUCUCUCAUAUCCAUCUUUUUCCGCAAAAAUUGAAAGCAUUUAGAACUUCUAGCUAAAUUAUUUUAUUUUAUUUUUCCCAAGCUAAUGUUGCUAGACCUCUCUACAUUUUGAGAUUUAUGAAACUUGGUACAAUUUUCCUCUUUCUCUCUCUCUCUCUCCCUCUCUCUAGCAUCAUUGUCAUCCUUUCUUUUGUUCCCUUUAAUAUCAUCAUCUAUUAUUUAAACUGCUCUUUUUAUUUUUUUAAGGGGAAUUAUAUUUGCAUCCACCCUAUUUACAUGUCCACUUAAAAAUAAUUAUCUUAUUAAUACAUUCACCUACAAUUUUAAAAUACCUAAAACACCUUUCCCAUUCUUCUCUCUCGCACCAAUAUUCUUCUUUCUUUUUUCUCUCAACUUAUUUUUUCUCAACCAUGAACCCUAAGAGAAAUCUAUUUUUUCUUCAAUACAUUUUGUUUGAAUCCAUAUAAUAUACCGCAUAAAUAUCUUUGAGCUUAUUUUUUUUAUGUAAUUUUUAACAAAAAGCUUGUUGUAAAAAUAGUUGAAAAACAAUUAGGAAGAAUUUUGCAAUAAUUUAGAAGUGAGAAAUUGUGAAAAGGUGCAAUAGAAAUGAAAAAAAAAAAAAACCUCAUUUUGUGGUGUUUGAACUUGGAAGGCCAGACACAGUGGAGAGGUCCAGACAAUGAGGAGAUGUCUGAUAUUGGAAGGCUAGACACAACAUAAAUAUUGGGAUGUAAAGGGCGAACAAAGUUCAAUUGUUUGGUAGAUAGAGUGUCCAGAUGUACAGUUCCAGAUGCUUAUAAAACUGUCAGGACAUACAGUUUCAAACAUUCUAAGUAUAUUUGGAAGUACUGUGCUAGACAUUUGUAAAACAUUUGACCUUGUAACAUUGAAUGCCAUCUGCGAUACCUGAUUCUUCCAACUCAAAAAAUGCGAAAAGAAAUGCAAAAAAUUAUUUAAAAGACAUACCUCUGCACUUGUACUAUCAUUGAAGAUGAUUAUAUGUUUUUCUUGAUAGCAUUUACAUGCUGACAAAGAAGAACCUCUUUCAAAGUUCUAGGAGGCACCUAAGAAAUGUAGAAUAAAGAAAAAAAUCAUGGACUACAACCUGAAGCAACUAAGCAGUAAAUUAACUUGAAUAUAGAUAAGUUCAAACUUUGAAUUAAGCAUAGGCACCAAGGAAAUGAAGUUUUUCCAUGGAAGAUCAAAACCAAGCAUGUGCUAUAUUCCACAUGAUUUUGAGAGUUUUGAAUUUUGGUUAGACAAACACAGCCUAGAUGGUUUUUCCUACCUUAGUUUGCAAUUUAGUCAUUAUUUGAUGUUCUAGUGUCACACAUCUUUAUGAUGCUUAAUGGGAAACAUUCUUUUAAUGUUUAUGGCCCUGAAUUGUUGUUGGCCAAAUGAUUGACUGCUUAUCAUUGAUGUGUCAUUUAUGUUUCAGGCUGAGAUAACAAUUGUGAAGUUACAAAAUCGAGUUCAUUUGUAUGGUGUGGAAGGUGGUUUUCCUAUGUUUUUUGACAUUGAUGGGCGAGGAACAGAAAUAUUCCCAACAGGUGGUUGACAAUUUAUUAAUUCUUGGUUAAAUUCUAUAUCUUCUUUUCUUGAUUCAUUCUUUUAGCUACAAAAUGUUGCUCUUUUAUUUUGUUAUAGAUUAUUGAUGCUACCAUUGAAAAGCUAACUUGAAAGCCACUUUCUUUCUGCAUUUUGCUAUGAUGCAUAUUCAUAGAAAACAAGUUGCCUAUACGAAGAUUAACUUGAUUCCAGAAUUCAUUCCUUUUAAAGUUGAAUUAGAACGAAAUGUCUUUCAUUCAUGAAUUAAACUCCACAAUCCUAGGAGGCAUUUAGCCCCAUCCUUUCUUUCUGAAAAAAAUGCCCUUGUCUAACAUUUCUUUUAAUCGGAUAAUUUUCUCUUUACAAGACCUUAUGCUUAAUAAGAGGGUCCCUUUCUUGUCCAUCCUCUUGCAAUGACUUCAACAUUCUCAAAACUACCAGACGUAGCACCCUUUCCUUACCCUCCUUAUGCAUAGAGGAAUGGCUGGAGAUUUUCUAAUGAGUGUACUUUUGCAUUAAUGAUAUUUCUAAACCUAUCAUGCCUACAGAAAGCCAAUUUACUCAUAAGGUUCCUCUGAUACUCCCAAUUUCUCAUUGGAUUUAAAUUUCCUAAAGAGAAAGUCUAUUUAGAAUUCCUUGACUAUUCACAAUUUUAAUCGGCAUUGUGAAAAGAGACAUGAUGCAUAUAUGCACAUCUUCAAACUGUAUCACUUUUUAAUAUGGCAAAAGACCAGAUUUGGACUCAUCCUAGAAACCAAUGGCUAUCUUAUUCUAUUGUUUCAAUUGGCCUUUUAAAAGAAACAAUGGAACAAAGUUAUAUGAGUAUUAUGUUUAUUAUAGUCAAUAAAAAAAUGAGGAUUGCAUUCAUUAUGGUUUGAUAAGAUUGAGGUUAUGGAUGAUGUAUUCAAAUCCAUUGUGGGUUAUGAGCUUUUCAAUAUUAUCCCUGUGGAUUGUUCUAUGGGGUGAGGGCUUGUUGUUUAGGUAUUCAAAGAAGGGUUAGUAAUACCUAAUGGACUCUUCCUUAAGAUGUAAGCCUUGAUCUCUGCUUCAAUUAGUGCAAUGCGUAAUGUGUUGUAUAGGUGUGUCAUUAUUAGAGAUUGGAAGGGCAAGCUGAUUUGAAGCUUUGUUAAGCUAACUAUUAUUUCCAUUGAAAGGUCUAAAAGAUGCUUCACCAAUGGUAAAAGGGACCUCUUGAUGGAAUGGGAUUCUUUGGUGGUGAUCUAGGGUGGGAGGAUCCCUGUAGCAAAAUUAGGGUACAAGUAGGAUUUUGGACUUAUCUAAGGAUCGUUCAUUUGGAAGCCUAGAUUAGCUAAUUUAGAGGUUGCUAUCUUAGCUAAGAUUGUUGGGGAUGUCCUUCUUCCUUGAGUCUUUUGGGUUGGGUUUAGCCUUCAUAGUUUAGUUUUUGCUUUUUGUCUUUUUCAUUCUAAAUCAAAAGAUUCUUAUUAAGCAUGAAACUUUCCUAAUCAACCACAUGAUAGCUUCGCAACCCAGAGAAACAACUGUUUUUUAAAGAAGCUUAAGAAAGGAGGGAGACCUAUGGUUUGAAGUAGGGCAAGGGGGAACUUUUUGAAUCAUAUUUAGAAACCUGCCUUUUGAAUUCAUCAUAAUUUAUUAGCUUAUUGAAGACACAAAAUUCCUCUGAGAUUCUGAUGGGGACAGGUGGCAACCAUCUUUGUGGAAGGAAGAUUUAGAAGUCUUGAGACCUAAUAGCUUAGUGCGCAUCUUGUAUGAACUUCUAGCAAAGAAAUGGGCUAAUAUCGCUAUUCCAACAAACUUCUUCAAGCUAAGGAGGUUUUUGGAGGAGCGAUAUCCAAUAUUUAGAGUGCUUUUCAAGGAAGACAAAUUUUGAAUGUUGUGCUCAUUGCAAGUGAAGCUUUAGAUUCAAGAUUGAAGAGCUCUAAACAAAGUGUCUUUGUAAACUAGAUAUGAAGAAGGCCUAUGACCAUGCCAAUUGGGAUUUUCUCUUAGCAAGAUGGAUUUUGGAUUGGUUGGAUUAUGUAGUAUAUUUCAAUGCUAGAUUCUUUGUAUUGGUGAAUAAAAGUAGUGCUAACUUUUUUUAGAGUUUGAGGGUUUGAUUAAAUUUUAGCCCAAGAAUUGCUUAUGAGUCUUGUCAAAGGAUCAUAGGUGUUCUUAUUUUUAAUGUCAUCAAUUUCUUAUUUUUGAAAAUUCUUUUAAUUUUGUUUUGGUUAUGUUGAUUUCCAAGCUUUAUUAUUACUCGAAGGAGUCUUAUGGUUUUAGGAUUGUAGCAUAUGAAGCUGGUCAAACAUAUGAAAAUUAAUGAAAGCGGAACCUAGGUGUGAAGCCUGAGGUUUUCAGGAGUGGUUCCUUGAGUCCCACUAGUGUCAUAGUAGUUAUUGAUCUAUCAUUUCUCUUUUACUUUUUUUGGUUUGCAUCAAUUUUGGUAUCAGAGCAGCCUGGAUGAUGAUUAAAUUAUUAGAGGAAGGUUAUCUGAUAGUCAAUGUGAUAAGAUACUGCUAAUUUGGGUGAUGGAGCAACUUGGUUACCUGGAAGAGUGGAGAGUAGACGGUUCACUAGUUCUUUUGUCAGGCGCAUUCUAGCAGUCUCAAAAUUGAGGAAGAAGAUUAGAGGUGAACAUUUAUAUUUUUUAGAUGUUAGUUUGGCGCAGAAACCAAUCAUGCAAACUUAUUAUUGAGUCAUUGGCACUGACGGUUGCAUAAACAUUGUCUCAACAUCCACAAUCUAGCACCUCUAGUUUCCUGUUGAACUAAACCACAACCAUACAAGGUAGCAUGGAUAACAACAUUUCUAUUCCUGUAAGCCAAUGCUACCUUGUUUCUCUUUUCUGUGGCCUCUUUAGCAAUUGUAUUUGGUGUGACAUUCUCGCUAUGAAAGUGCUCAAUAGCAUUCUCGAUCGUCCUUGACUUUAUGAUCUGGAUGUGCAUCAUUGUGGGAAAGAAAAUAUGUAUAAUUUCAUGUUAAAAAACAGAAAAGUUGUGCUGAAGCCAAUGACUGUUGCUAAAAUGAACCAUUGUUAAGUAGGAAAGUCGAUAUAGGUUAUGCAUGUCAUGAAGAAUUCACUUCACAUUCUUAUUAAGAAGUUUCAACUGGAAAACAAGGAAAAUGGGGUUACAAUGUGAACAAGGCCUGAAUAAUAUCCUGAAGAUGCUUAAGACAAAAUCUACAAAAUUCUUCAAGAAAAUAGGCUCUGAUUUUUAUGUACUUGGCUUGCUAGAAAAAAUGUGCAUUAGUAACAUCUUCAAUAUGUAGGCCUUUGCCCUAUACCAUGGCUUUGAAACUGCUAUAUCAAAUGAUGAUCAAAAUGCUCAUCUCCCACCAGCCCCUUGAUUGAAAGAGGAGAUUGAAGAUGUUCAUACCAAAUUGCUUCAACUAGAGGAGGGGGUUAUCAAAAGUAUCUUGUGAAAUAGUAGGGACGAUCACAUCCUGAUUAUACCCAGAUCAUAGAUAAUGAAGUUCAGCAAUUGAAUUGCACUCCUUAUGAGAAAUUCCAUGCUUUUGGGUUGAGUUUUCCUAAGCCAGGGAGAGUUGAUGAAGACAAGUGGCAACGACCACCUAUGAAAGUUUACCAAAGGCAUAGAAAGCUAAGACCCAAAUUUUGAUUUGGCAUACUUUGGAUGAUAAUGGGCUUAGUUGAGAUGUUAUGUAAUUUAAUGUGGAGUUCAACCCAUAGCUGUUCUGCAGAAAUCGUUUCUCGGUCCAAGAGUUUUUACAAGUCUAGUUAGAGGGUGAUAAGUGUUGUUCUUUUCAGUGUCAUUAAUGUCUUAAUUUUUCAAGAGUGUUUUGAUUUUGUCUAUCAGUUAACAAGCUUUAUUGUUACCGUGAUUUGUUCCAAAUAGUUGAGUCUUAGAGUUUUAGUGUAUGAAGUUGGUCAGACUUUAAAUUAAUGAAUGAAAAACAUGGAACAUUCUACUGCUUAAUGUUAUCUUGUUUGUGUGAUUUAAACUGAACCUAUGCGUGAAAGUGUAAGAAGAGUGAUUCUUAGAGUCCCACUAGUGUGAUACUAGUCAUCCAUCUAUUGUUUCUCCUUCACUUUCCCCAUUCUCCACCAGAUUAAAAAGGAAGCAUUCCUGAGGGUAACUUCCUUAUGACUUCAACCAUUAACCCCUUGUACUUUGUGUGGUUUUACCUUGCCAUUUUCUUCCUGGAACUUGUGAAGCUUGCCUAAUGUUUUGUUUUAUUUUAUGUGGAUAUAUUUGACUCUAGCUUCUCAAUAAUAGCUUGCGAGAAACUUGUAAGUUAACAAUAACAUCCUGCUGCUAGAUAAGUCACAUAUUGGGUGGAAGUUCCUUGAAAUUGGUGGGACAAUUUCUCUGGUUCUUAAAGACAAGGAUUAUAAUACAUAGAUAUUAGUGCAAUUUCAUAUGACCUAUCUGUGUUUGGGUUUUCUUUUAUUGGAAGCCUGUAUAUGUAUGAAAAAUGUUGUGGGAAGCUCUCUUUUCUUUGUCACUUUUACAUUUAAUAAAUAUUUUUUGCCCUCUAAAAAGUGUCAUUUGAAGGAUAGCUUGAAAAUAAACCUUGCCCACUUGGAUGCCUGUGCUUUAUUGUUAACUUAGAACCUUAAUUCAAUUAUGUCUUGAAAAUUGACAUAAUUAUCGGUCCUGAUUGUACUCCUUUUCCACUAUUGUAGUUUAUGCCCUCUGGAAGGUUCCUGAUCUUUUGCCUGCUUUCAUCCUGAAGGGGGGUGAGGUUUCUCGUUUUGUCAUUGGAGGUGCUGAUCUGAUGUUCCCUGGUAUUAGCAUUCCUGCUGAAGGGCUACCUUCAUUUGCAGAGGGGGAGCCUUGGGCAGUUAAAGUUCCAGGCAAUCUGGCUCCAAUUGCUGUAUGUUUAUUCAAUUUUUGACUGCUUUUACAUCUCAAUCUGUCUUGAGUGGUGAUCUAAUUGGAUAAGCUCACUAGUAGGUUACCGCUGAAUUUUGAAAUUUUUGCAGGUUGGGACCACAACUAUGAGUAGCACUGCAGCAUUAAAAGCUGGUCUGCGUGGAAAAGCUUUGAGAAUAACUCAUUACUAUCGAGAUUCACUCUGGCAAGUAUAGGGGAAACUGGAUUUGAUUGCAAUUAAUGAUUUAAAUUGUUCUAUGAUUGAUAUUCUGCUUGGGAAUUAUUCUUGCAGGGAAUUAGUUGAGGGCCAUUAUGUGCCAAAUGCAGGAUUUUUAGAAGAUGUUGUGUUUGAAGAUCCUUCUUUGUCAUCAGCUUGUCAGGCUUCUGAUUCAUGCGAAGGUGUUAAUGAGGCUUCAAGUGAUCCACAAAACGACAUUAGCAAUAAAAAAGAGGGUGAAUCUGUUGAUGUCUUGGAUCUAACUUCGGAAGCUAACCCAUCUUCAACAGCACAGCUUGAUGUUAGCAAUGAUCCUGCUGAACAAAUAACUGCCAAUGUGGAUGAUCUGAAGGUAACUGAUGAGGAGUCAAAUGUUGAGGUUCAUCACACUCUAUCCACUGAAGAUGUGGAUGCACUUUUAGACAAAUGUCUGUUGCAAGCCUUGCAUACAACGGUUAAAGAUAAAGACCUUCCAAUGCCUGGAAGCACAUUGUGGUAUGUUACAUAUGGCAACUCCUGUGCAUGAAUUCUCCUGGGGGUGGCACUGUGACCUUAUUAUGGAGAUGAAAUUGGAUAUUAUUGCUAAAAUCUCCUAGUGGAAUUAAACUUGGAUUGACCAUCAAGCUGUUUUGUGACUGGAUCACAGGUUUAACCAGUCCAACCAUGAGUUGGCUUGGUUGAUCCAGUUUGUAUUAAAAGGAAAUGGAUAAGAAAAGUUUGAACAUGUAAUAGAAGCAUGAAUUAGGUUGCAUUCUUAAUUUUCACAUUAAAGUUUCCAAGCUGGACUCACAUUUCAGACCUUCAAAUUUUCUUUUUGAAGUAAAACAUUAAUGAAAUGCUUUCAGUGUGAUCUGUACUAUUUUAGUGGCUGAUUGCCAGUUCAAAUCCCCAAGCUGUCUGAUAACAUGUUCUUAAAUACAUGAACUCUGUGUGUGUCCCUUUCAUUUACAAAUCAGAAACCAUAAAUCUUGAUUAAAUCUUACAGAGACUGUUUUCAUGGUGAAGCAAUUUUUUAUGAUGUCUUUUUGUUGAUUAUGAAUUGUUACAACCCAAACCACCAUAAAGAAAACUGGACAAAUAGUAGGUAUAAUAACAUUAAAAUAUGGAAACUUAGGGUUGGGAAAUCAUUGAAUCUUAGAAACUACUUUUUAAAAAAAGAAAAAUCUAUGAAUGUUUUACUUCAUUUGAGUACAUUUCAUUUACGUUUUUUAGAAAUAAUGUUAUUUGUUUGUGGUGCUGCUGCAGGGCAGGCCAUGUAUUACCUUGUAGGCCUUCAGGCAUCACACUUGAUAUAAAAAAGUCAUCCUACAAGAAAUUAUCAAAGUGGCUACAGGCUAAAUCCUCCACAACAUUGGUGUGUCUCUUUUCUCUUCUCUUAAAUUCGUUCAGAUAUAAAAUAUAUAACAAUAAAAAAAAACAUAUAAAGUGUGUAUGUUCUGUACCAAAGAUUGUGAAAUGGAAUCAUAUAAUGCUGUUUGGUUGGGAUUUUUUUUUUCUUUUCAUAUUUCAUUUCUGAUAAAGUGAGAUCUAUAGUCAAGCUGGUCAUUUUGAUUUUUGGCAUGGAAACCUUUUAUUCGUUUUUCGAAAAAGGAAAACUUUUCACACUCAUGAUAGAUAACAGUUGCCUCGCCUUUAUUUUUUUUUUUUUGAUAGGCAAAAGCACAAAGAUAUAUUAGAGAAAGGGAGCUUGAAAGGCAACCCAGAGCAUACAGGGAGUAUACAAGAGACACCUAAAACAAGCAACAAAAACACAAGCACUCACCGGCCCUCAACAAGAACCCAACCAAUCCACAAAGUUAAACAAAGAUAAAGGGCCUACAACUAUAGAGGAAUUAGCCCAGGAUAAGAGAUUACAAACAAAUGAGUUUUUCAAUCUUUGAGUCGACAAAGCCUCGUUAUCAAAGACUAUCCUAUUUCUUUCCUUCCAAAUUGUCCAAAAUAAACAGAGAGGAGCUGCCCGCCAAACCUUUCUAUGAUUCUUGUCCUUAAAAGAGACAUGCCAACUUAAUAGAGUGUCUCUCACCGAAAACGGCAACACCCAAUUGACCCCAAAAAGAGAAAGCAAAAGAUCCCACAAAAUCUUCGUCUUAGAACAAUGAACAAGGAUAUGAUUUAUCGUUUCCUCUUCAACGCAACACAAGCAACAUCUAUUGGCUAGAAUCCAGCCCCUCCUCUUAAGCUGAUCUUGAGUAAGGACCUUCUCCCAAGAAGUUUCCCAAGCAAAAAAACUCACCUUUGAAGGAACAUACGGACUCCAAAUAAUAUUACCCGGAAACGAGACUGCACAGCUAUGAUCAAGAGACUUGUAAAGAGAUUUUACAGUGAAAAUCUCAUUUUUCGUCCCUCUCCACAGCAUCCUAUCCUCCCCAUCAGCAUCCAACCUCUUCCCUUGAAUGGACGAUAGGAGUCUCUCCACCUCCUCCACCUCCCAAUCGUUGAAAGGUCUAAGGAAAAGUGGAGUCCACCCUCCCACUUCCCCCAUUGGAUCCCAAUAGUCCGCAACCCACGCAUCUUUAGAACCCGCUAAAUCAAACAAAGAGGGAAAAGCCUCACAAAGGGGGGUGUUCCCGCACCAAAUGUCUUUCCAAAACCUCACCCUUUUACCAUCCCCCACCGAGAAAGAUACAUUAUUGAGCAGUAGCAAACCUUCCUUGCUGAUAUCCUUCCAAAGCCCAACCCCAUGGCCCUCCCUAGCCCCACACGUGCUCCACCCUCCUCUUUCAACCCCAUACUUCGUACUAAUAAUAAGCUUCCAAUAUGAGUCUCUUUCAACCGCAUAACGCCAACUCCAUUUGCACAAGAGGGUUCUGGAUGAUUGUGAAUUUUCCUCUUAGUCUUGCAUCUGUCUAGCUGUGAGAGGAGAUAAACUGAAGUCAAGGAUGCUGCCCAAUAACUUGGGAUGUUUCUUCAAUUGAGAAUUUAGACAUGUUCAAGACUCUGCAUGUAUUUAUGCAAACUACUUUAGAAUAAAAAACCAACAUGAUAGAGAAUACUCUUUAACUGAGCUACCUUAGUUUGGUGGUUCUCUUGAUCAACCAGCAAACUAUUGACAGGGGCUUGCUGAAGUUUUUGCUUCCUCUGUUAUAGAUAUGGUUGUUUUUGUAGAUGGCUUAUAGCUUGGUGGUUUUUAUAUAUGGGUGGAGCACAUCAAGUUGGAGUUUUGGUUCACAAGGUUCUAGAAUUAAUUGACGUGUGAAAUCAUACUUGGCCAUUUUUUGAUAUGACAUGACCUAGUAGGUUAAAUUUAGUAGUUUUAGCUCCUAGCUGUCAGAAGGACAUUGUGGAGUAACAGUUCAGGUUAGGUGUGGUAUUUUGUUCAGGUUACAUCAGCUUGCAAGAAAGCCUUACUGAACUGAGUGAGGCUUGAAGUUAGAUAGAAUUGGGAUCUUCCAUUUCUUGACUAAAAGUUGUUUCAGUGGAUCCUUACCUAAACCUGAAGCCCACAAUUUAUCAUUAGUUUUGUUCAUCUCUGGCACAGAGUUGGAAUAUAUAGAAAUAAGACCAGAAUUAUCUGCACUUUAUUGAUUAUAGCCAAUGUGGUUUAAACAACUAAAAGUAGGUGGGCUAACAAACUGUUACCUGGCCAAACAAGUACUAAAUAGGCCAAAGAACAUUUGCCUUCCAACUCAGGAGAAACUAUUACCUUUUUUAUAGCACUAUCAAGCCGCUCAUUAGAGCACUUCCAAAUUUUAAUCAGAGGCAAUCUUCAAAGACUGCUAUAUUCUUAUUGAACAUUUCUUGAGAGUUUAAUUGAAAUAGAAGUGCUUAUUGAGGCAUCAAAUUUUAGGAUUAAGACUGUUAGAUCAUCUUGAAUGUUCACCUUUCUGAAAAGGUUGAAGUUCUGUUUGGUUCCUUGGUAAGAUUUAGAACUAUGAAUGGAUGAGCUUAUGAGAAAAUUGAAUGGAUGAUGAGAAUAGAAAGCUUUGACUUUGAUACUUUAAAAUUGUAUUAAAUUUUAAUGAGAGAUACUUUUGGUUCUCAGUUUGGUUACAUUUUAUGCAUGAAAGUAAAUGUGUGGUUCCAAAUCUUGUCACACUUUAAACGAGGGUUAGUACCACUAAAUUAAGAUUAGUAACUUAUCUUUAUUGAAUUUGCUAUUGAACUUAUUUUGGUUUUCUGUUGAUUCUACCACAUGGACAGAUUUCAGUAAAAGAGGAUAAACAUAAAAAAGAGGUGGUAUUAAAUUCUGUCAACCGCAAUCAUCCAGAGUACACAUCUUUCAGGCCUGAGAAACGGCAAGUGGAAAAAAGUGAUCAGACCAGUGACCAUGCUGCUAGUGAAAGUCGAUCACAUAAAACACUUGAAGUGGCUGAGAUAUACAAACCGAGUGUGCAUGUCAAUCCUAUUUUUGCUUCUGUGGGAGUCGAUACGGGGAAACUGUUCAGUGCCUCUGAAGCCACCGAUAUUGUCUUCAGAUAUAUUGAGAAAGAAAAUCUGGUCAAACCAACAGACAAAUCCAUGGUGGUAUUAGAUGCAAUAUUAUGCGAUGCUUUGUUCAAAGGAGCUAUUAAAAAGGGAUCAACUUACCCAACUGCAAUUCAUAAGAAGGAGUUAGGACAUACCUUCGUGAAUCGCAUGCAAGCUCAUCAUGUAGUGACAAGAGGAGGUGAGUCAGUUGUUCGCAAAGGUGCCCUUAAAAAUAUUCAGAUAAUGACAGAACGGAGGCAGGGUAACAAGAAGGUGACUAAAGUCUCAGGGUUUGAAUCAUUCUUGAUGGAUGCUGAAGCUUUGGCAUCAGAGUUGCAGAAGAAAUUUGCUUGCAGUACGACAGUGGCAGAACUGCCAGGUAUUUCCUAAAAUGUCUUGUUAUUAUUAUUAUUAUCAUUAUUGUAUUGUUGUUAUUAUUAUUUGCAUGAACGUUGUUUAGGAAAUAAUCCCUACUCUUAAGAUGGCCUUGUUUUUUAAAAUUAGGUUUAGAAAUGUUAUUUUGGUCCUCUUUGUUCCCAAUUACAAUAGAGCUUUUUAAGGAUUUGAACAUAUCAUUAUGGCAUGUAAUAUAGGAAUUCAAAUUUGUUGGUAAUUUCCUAUAUUUUAGUAAGAUUAAAUGUGCCCAUGUGUUGCACUUGACAUUGGUCAUGAUUUUGCUCAGCCAAAUUAGAGAAAAAUGGUUAGAAAUUAAAAAGAAUGUAUUCACCAAAUGGUAAAAAUCCCAUCUAUAAUUAUUUGCUAUAGUCAUCCUCAUUAGUCAUCCAUCUUUAGGCGCACACAUAAGUUUUUAUGAAUUUACACUGACACAUUUUUUUUUAAAAAAAAAAAAUUCCUGUAGUAUGUAUCUUAUGUCACUAGGGGAGCUGGAAAGUUGAUCAAUUCAUUACGUGGUCUUCUGAUAUACAUUUUUUCUUUUUUCUUUUUUCUUUUUUCUUUUUAAAAUUAUCCUGUAGUAUGCAUCUUGUAUUAAUUGAUGGCCUGGAGAUAUUUGUGGGGCUCAAUCUGACAUUUAGCUGCUAUCUUCUUGGAUUCAGCUGAUCUGCUACAUGUCCCCUCAAAUAUAUGUUCUAUGUUAAUUUGAGAUUGUUGUUUUCAUUUUGCCCCUUUCAGGUAAGAAAGGACAUGAAGUUCUGGUUCAAGGAGGUGUGAUUGAAGAUCUGGCAAAACAUCUAGUUGAACAAUAUGGAAUCCCAAAGAGAUGCAUUGAAGUGCUUGAUAAAACUAAGAAAUGAGGACUUGGACACGGUUUGUAGUCUCCUCCCAUCAAUCUUUCAUACAAACUUCUUGAAUACCAUGUGGUUCAACAUCUCACCAUUCAUUAUUUCAUGAAAUUAGGUAUAUGAAUUUUUGUUCUUAUUAUUUUUAUUUUUAUUUUUCUUCCUGAAGUUAAAUGAGAUACAUAAUUUGAUCUAUUUUAAGGACUCCAUGUUAUAGUGAUCAUACAAGGGGCCCUCAUGCCACCCAUUUACUGUGAUUUUCUAGUACUUCUUCAACUGCCAUAAUUUGAUAUCGAAUAUUAGGCUGGGAUAAUUUCACUCUGAUUUUAAUUGUCCUCUAGUCAUGUUGCCCAUUGCCGGAAUCUUCACUGAGCAGCACAGUAUCAUUUAGUCAUGAAAAAAUGGUGGCCUAAGUUCAUCACAAUGCUAUAGGCAUUCUAAAAGUAUUCUAGUAACAGAAAUAAUGUAGAAGCAUAUGGUCAAUAUGUCAAGUUCCUUACCCAAAGAGAGUUGAAAGCCCCUGGAUACUUGAGCUUCUGGGGGUUCUAGAACAUGUCUAUUAGAAAAUUACAUCGACUAUGAGGAAAAGAUUCUUGUCAUCAAGAGUGAGAUUAUGUGUGAUAGGGUUCCACCUCCCUUUACUUUGCUAAGUCAGAUCAUAUCUUGUGGGAUAUUUAACUUAUAUUUUUAACUCCUAAACUCCAUGAAAGUAUACUCAAAGAAUAUUUCAUUUGAAAAAAUGUUAGAUGCUUUCAUAUUUUUAUCAGAAAGGCAAGGAAGUUCAAUGCUCCUCACUCUUAAAAUGCACUGUCAGGUAAGAAAGUUCCCAGGGAGGUUUUAAUUGGAGUUGUGUCAAUGAUCAAAUCACAAUAUCCUGUCAAGUAUUCCAUCUGGAGUUGCAUGGAAAUGCUUGAUAUUAGCCCAUAAAAGAGAACUGCAGAGUCUGGUAUAUCUUUCUUCAAUUUGCUUUCUUCACAUUUUACCUUUUGGCUUUUACUCAUAAAAGAAAAAGAAAGACCUGGCUUGUCAUUAUACCAGUUUCCUUUGUAUCUUACUAUGGUUGAAUUGUGUUGCUAUUUUUUAUUUAAUUAAUGCAGUUGACUUUGAGACAUGCUAUUUUAGUAUUUUAGAAUUUAUAAUUUAUAAAACUGAUUCAAUGUGAAGAAUUUCAUCUUUGAAUUUGUAUAUUAGGGAUUUGCAUUUCUUCACUUAUUUGGAUUAUUAGGGUUUAUGUAUUAUAUAGAGGGUUCUAGGGUUUUGUACACUCAAUUUAAUCACAGUCUACUCGUCUGAAAAGAAGAGGAGAUGUGGUGUACCUUUGUGAUUGAAACAGGCAGAUGUUUUGUUAUUUUUUUCAUUCUAUAGUGAGCUUAUUCAUAAUUUUUGUUCUAAUAAAGAAGGCUAUAAGUUGAUAAAUUUUAAUAAGAAAAAUUACUAAAUAAUAUGAAGUAUUAGCAAGAAUAAUGAGAAACAAAUUUGAUCAUUUAAGCUUUUAUUUAGGUCUCACAAAGCUUGAGGGGCAAGAAAAAGUGGAAGAAAAUAAAACUAUUUUAAAAAUCUUUUUAUAAUUUAUUUAUGUUUUUUUUUUCCUUUUAUAUAAAGAAAGAACUAGGAAUUUGAAAAUGUAGAAGUUUUUAAUUAGUUUUUAUUACAUUUAUUUAGUAUAAGAAGAAAGGACCAUUGAAGGAAUGUGGCUAGUCAUAAGUUUUUAGGCCUAGGAAGGCUGUGAUUUGGUUCCUGAAAAGUAUUAAGAAAGGUUAGGACAAAUAAUAGCAAGGAAAAAGGUAGGAAAAAAAAACCUUAUUUUUUCUAAUUUUCCUUAUUCUUAUUUUUUUUCCUUUCAAACCUUGGGAGCUAAAUAUAGUCUAAAGGAUUAACCUAAAACUAGGGCCAGCCUAUCCCUAGAACUUGCUAUUAUGAAAAUUAUGUUCCAAAGCAAUAUCUUUAUAUACUUUUCUUUUUUAUCUUUCUCAAAUAAGAACUAUCAUGAGGUGGAAGCUAAAAAUUUAGAAAGCAAAAGCUUUCCGUCCUAGCCUCCUAGGAAUAGUGUCAAAGCCAUUUUUUUGUCCACUUGUCUUAUAUGCACAUAAGAGAGGACUGCUUUGUAUAUUAUGCGUGAAUAAAGAAAAUUUAAAUUAUUAAAUAUUUAUUUUUCAAUUCAUCUCGAGUAUUAUGCUUUUAAUCUUUAAAUAAUUAACCAUUUGAAUUAUUAUUUGUUGAGUGAACAGAAACUCUAAUACCAAUUUGUUAUGUUGUUAUGUGCUAGUAAAAUUUUUAAUAUAAACAAUUACUAUGCAUGAAGUUUAAUAUAAGAUCAUUCAUGAUGAAAGAGAAUAUUUCUAUUAUAUUAUAAUAAAUAUUACAUAAAAUAAAAUCAAAUACAAUUAAUUAAGUUUUCAAAAUAUUUUUUAUUUUUUUAUUUUUUUAUAUCCAUAUUUUAAAUCACAAGUCUUUUCAAUCCAUUGGACGUCUUCCAUCAUAUCUCUAUCCACAUAUAAGUUCAUUUACAUUUUAUAAUUUUUUUUUUAUCUAAAAUAUUUAUAAGAAAAUUCCUAACAACUUUCUUGAAAAUAUUCCAUAUAAUAUUCUUUACUAAAUAAAAAAAAUCAUUAUUAAUUUGAAAUUUGAUAUACUUUCCAACAUCAUCCCCCACCUCCCUGGAAGCCACAAGUUUGGAAGCCAUUUGUAUUUUUAAAAAAGACACUAAAAUUCAGUUUGGUUUCAAUUAAAGUUAAAAAAAUACUAAAAGAAAAUAAUUUUUUUAUAUUUAAUUUUAUUAUUAAAAACAUGAAAGAAAAUUUAUAUAUAUUUAAAUUAUUUAUUUUUUUAUAUAAAAUAAAAAAAUAAAUGAAAUGAAUUUGAAAUAGAAAAUAAGAAUAAUUUGUUAAUUUGAAAAAUGAAAUAAUAUUUUCACAAAGAAAAUCGUUCUCCCUCACUGUUCACCUCAUAUAGCCGCGAUACAAGUCCAUCGUAUUCCAUCAAGAUAUUCCUAUCAACUUUUAGCGAAUACUAAUUUAUUAAGAAUUAAUCGGAUUGAAGCUAUAGCGUCAUCAUUUGCUGGAAUCGAAAUAUCUGCGAGAUUGGGUCACAAUUUGUAUGGAUUAAACAAAUCGUUGGAAGCAGGCCGGGCCCUAUUUCAAAUGAAAGAAAUAAAAAAAGAAUGGGUCAAUCCAGGAAGACUACAUUCGUGGGAGCAUCUUAUGAUAUGUACGUCUAUCCUACCACAACUCCCACAUUUUGAGAUCGAUCCCGUGGAGACGUUCUGAAAGAUCGGAUGGCUCGAAUACCAAUGUUUUCUGGGUUCUAUAUGGAAGUAUAAUAUUAUAACAAUCUAUAUACAAAGAAUUAAUACUGAUAAGGAAUGUGUGACACAUUCCAAUAAUUACAAAUAUAUCGCAAUCUACUCCAAACUUGCUUUUGUAUCAUCUUUCAUUUCUUCCCACUUCUCACUACCGCUAGGAAAUGCUAGAUACCGCCGGCGGCCAUGUCCGCGCAUCGCCAGAUCUUCCAUGGAGGGUCCGCCUUUCGCUUGCCAUUAUAACCACCAUCUCCGACGCCUGUCUCCGCCGUGACGGCACUGUCAACCGCCGUCUCUUGAGCUUCCUGGACCUCAAAAUCUCUCCCUCUGACAAACCAGUGAACGGCGUCACCACCUCCGACACCACAGUCGACCCCUCCCGGAACCUCUGGUUCCGCCUCUUCCUCCCUGGAGAAGCCGCCUCCGCCGGCGAGAAUCUUCCCGUCGUCGUCUACUUCCACGGCGGGGGGUUCGUGUUCCUCUCCGCCAACUCCAAGCCCAUUGACGACUUCUGCCGCCGCCUCGCUCGCGAACUCCCCGCCGCUAUCGUCUCCGUCGACAACCGCCUCGCGCCGGAGCAUCGAUGCCCCUCCCAGUACAACGACGGCUUCGACGUGCUCAAAUUCAUGGACGAGAAUCCUCCACUGCACUCUGAUCUAACCCGCUGCUUCAUCGCCGGUGACAGCGCAGGCGGCAACCUCGCCCACCACGUGGCUGCAAGAGCCAGCGAGUUCAAAUUCCGGAACUUGAAAAUCCUCGGGCUGAUACCGAUACAGCCGUAUUUCGGAGGAGAAGAGAGGACGGAAUCCGAAAUCCAACUCGCCGGAUCUCCGAUCGUGUCGGUGUGGCGUACAGACUGGUGUUGGAAGGCGUUUCUGCCGGAGGGUUCAGACCGAGACCAUCCGGCGGCGAAUGUGUUCGGGCCGAAAUCGGGCGACAUAUCAGGGGUGAAAUUCCCGAAAAGUUUGGUGUUUAUCGGAGGAUUUGAUCCGUUAAAAGAUUGGCAGAAGAGGUAUUGUGAAGGAAUGAAGAAAAAUGGAAAAAAAGUGAAGGUGAUUGAGUAUCCAAAUGCCAUUCAUUCCUUUUAUGGGAUUCCUCAAUUGCCUGAAUCACGCUUGUUUAUCAAGGAGGUUAGAAAUUUCAUUUAUUUUGAAUAAUUUUUAUUUUCAAUUCAUUUUCCCCUCAAAUUUAGUUUUGGGUUUUGUUAGAGUAAAAUAUAUUUUUUUAAGUAAGUUUUUCUUUAAUUUUUUUUUAAAAUUCAUAAUUAUAAUAUUAUUUUUAAAUUCUUAAAAACUCUAAAAUUUGAACUAAUUAUCAUUGGAUUGUAUUAUUUUUUUGGGGCUAAGGGUAGUUUUAAUAUUUUAUCAAAUUUUAAUCAGAUAUUUUUUCUAUUGGAGAAAAAAGAAGAAGAAUAAGGACAAGUAUGAGAAGUGUCUCUUAGUAAGAGUUUUCUUAUUUUUGACAAUCUUUGGUUUUUUAGAAUAAAAAAUGUUUUUUUGAUAAAUUUUUAAUUAUUUUUGUUUUUGAAAAAAUGUUAUAAAACAUGUGUUUUUUAAAAAUUUUGAAGGUAUUUUUAAGUAUUUUUUUCAUAAAGCAUUAUAAAGCACAAUUGAAACUAUAGAGAAUAUUUAAUUUUUUUUAUAUUAUUACACAUAAGUAUAUGUUAACAAAUUAUUUUUAAAAAAAUAUAGAACUUUAUUUUUGACAGCAAUGGAGAACAAUUCAUACUACAAGACAAAUAAUGAGAAUUUUCUCUAAAUAUCAAAGUCAUAUUCAACAUGAAAAAAAAUUAAUUUUAGGGAAAAGUGUGUUUCAUAUACCAAUAUGAAUAAAAUUAUAGGAAUAUAAGUUUAUAGAAUACAAUAUUUAAAUAAUUAUUUAAAAAUAAUUAAUAUUUUAUAUAUUUUUUUGUCAAAUAUAUCAUAUUUGAUUAUUUACGUGUUACAUUUGAAUGAGAUAGUAUUAUUUUUUACCAUCCUACGUUUUAUAUUUGAUCAUCCUAACUACUAUCUUUUGAUUAUUCUAGAUACCGUAUUUGGAAAAUAUUUUUAGAGAGUUUCUAUUUUAUAAUUAUAUGUAAACGAGGGUGUGAAAAUAUUUUUUUUAUAUUAUUUUAUUAUUUAAGAAGCUUCUAUUGAUAAUAAAAAAAUAUUUUGUAAAUAAUUUUCUUGAAAGACUCAUCCAUCUUUAUCUUAUCUUGAUACAAUACUAAAAAAGUCCUUUUAUGGGUUGUGUGUGUUUUUCCUUUCUUUUCCUCCAAACAACAUAUUAAAAAAAAUUGAAGUUAGUUUUAACAUUUGAUAUAACAAGCGCUAGGUGACAACAUUUCUUUAAUAAUUAUUUUUAAAAAUAGUUUUAUGUUUUCUAUAGAAGUAAAAUUACUUUUGAAAAUUAAAUUAUAAAAAGUAUUAUUCUUUAAAAAAAAAUAUUUGGUGGACUUAAUAUAAACAAUUCUAUAAAAUAAGUAAAAUAAACAUUCUUGCUUGAAAUUUUUUAAAAUAUUAAGAUUAUAUUUGGAUUCGGGAAAAUUUGAGGAAAAGUGUAAGAGAAAUAAAAUACAAAGGAAAACUAGAAGGAAAUAAAAAAUAAAAAAUAUAUUAAAAGUCAAUAAAUUAUUUUUAUUUAUUAUUUUAAAUUUAUUUUACUUAUUUUAAGUUAUUGAUAUAAAAAUUAAAUAAUUUAAAAAUAUAAAAUUUUUUAACUAGUUUUAAUUAAAUUAGAUUUUCUUUGAUAUUUUUGAUAGGACAAUUAAAUAUGAAAAAAUCAUUUUUUUUUACAGUUUUUUUUUCUUUGUAUUUUCCGGGAACCAAACAUAAGUUAUGUGUUUUCUUCUCAUGAUUUACAUGUUGUAAAUAAAUAAUUUAAAAUUUUUUAAAUAUAAACAUAAACAAAUUUUCAUCCAGCUUAGAAAUUCCAUUGUCGAUUUUUCUGAUAUAUAUACACUUGUUUCUCACAGAGUGCUGCUAUUCUCUCAACAUAAAAACAAACAAAAUGUCACCCACAAAAUCCCACAUCCCCUUCGUUCCAAUCAAACCCAAAAAGCAAAAAGGGACAAGAGAAAAAAAAAAAAAAAAAACAGUCUUCUUCCCAGAAAUCUGCAGCCCAUUUUAGUUUCCCAGAUUUUUUAAAAGCAGUUUGCAAUCAAGGAAUUCUUCAUUAAUGACCCAAGGAUAUCAGAGUGCUGGGUGUAACUUGAUGGGCUCCGGGCUACAACAUACAUUUGCGCCCACAAAAAUCCACUUUGAUUAGAGUUAUGGUGCAGAUAUUUUCUCACAGGCCCAAGAGAUGAAGGGGAAAUGGAGUCUGGGAGUGUUUUUGAAAGCAUCAAAACAUACCCAUAGUUUUCUGUAAGUUCACUAGUCCAAUCUCCUAGCCCUAAUCAAGAUGGAGUUGGUCUGACUGUUUUUUGAAAACACUUUCUAAUCUAAAAAAUGUUUUUGAAAAAAAAAGAAAAAGAGUUUUCGUCAAAAUUUUAAAAACAUCUUUAAAAAUUUUAAAAAUAGCUUAUAAUAUUAAAAAGCCAUUUAUAUUAUUUUUUUAGAGAAAUAUUUGAUAUAUAAUGCUCCGAAAAAUAUUUUUUUUAAAAAUAUUCUAUUAAAAAUACUUUAAAUAAUUAUAUUACUAAACACACUCUUAAUUCCAUGCAAACAUGAAUUAAUAGGUUUAAAAUCAAAUUGCUAACUUAGAAAUAUAAUUCAAUUUGCUUCAUUCAAUUAUGUUGUGAUUCGGUUUAGAUGAACUUCUGAGAAGUAAAAAACUUUUCUUUUUUAAAUUAUAUACGAGCUUUUAUAAUUAUUUGACUAAUUUUAUUUAAAGAAAAUGGUUUAAUAAUAUAAAAGUUGGAAAAAUAUUUGUUGUUGUAAAAAUUCUAUUUUGACUUAUAUGAAAAAUUAUUUCAUAUUCCUCCUUUCCAUGUUUUUCUCCAAACAAAUAUCAAAUAUAAUUUAGUAUCGAUCCAAAAUGAAUUCAUCAUAGUAAAGAAAAUUAUAUGGAAUCAAAUAUGAAAAUAUAAAACUUGAAAAGAUCCUAAAUAAAGGAAAUUCUAAUAUUGAAAGACUUGGGUAAGAGAAAAUUAUGUUGGUCCAUACAUUAAAAUCCUAUGAAUCUUAGAAAAGUGAAUUGGUUAAUAAAAUCAAAGAAAUUAUUUGAAUUUUUUUUUUUUAAAUGAGUUUUUUAUUCUCAUCAUUAACAUGAUGUUAUAAAUCAAAAUGCCAACUUAGAAACAUAAUCCAUUCUUCUUCAUUCAAUGAUAUUUGGAUCCAUUUAUGGGGAAGUCAAAAGUUUUUUUCUUUAAGUUCCAUAAAAUGUCUAUUUGAAUAAUUUUAUUUAAGGAGAUUAUAACUAAAAAAAAAAAACUCUAUAUUUAUUUAUAAAAAAAUUCUUUUAUAUUUAAUAAAACAUUUAUUAUACUAAUACUUUCUUUUAAAAAUUUUGGUUUUGGCCUCACGUACAACUAUUGGCCAAAAUUAGAAAAAGGAAAGUUAUUCCAAAUGUGGUAAAAUCAUUUAUUUAUAAAUUACUUCCAUCUAACCUCCUAAAUCAUGCAACCAUUUUCCCAAAGGAUCAUAGUGCAAUAUGACCAAUAAAAUUCCAGUUGCAUUUACUUAUAUAUAUAUAUCUAUAUAUAUAUAUAUAUAUAUAUAUAUAUAGAAAAAGAUAUAUUUGAUAACAUUGAUAAUGAAGCUAUUACGCAACCCUUUUGAAAUAUGACAAAGGACAAUUGUAAAAUGUAUUCAAUUGAAAUGUUAUGGCUUAAUAUAAUUUUAUUGUACUUAUAAUUUAUAAAUAUUAUUUUUAUUUACUAUUAAAGGUUGCCUCCUUAAGUAAAAUGCUAGCUCCCUUAAAGAUGAAAAUAUAGAAAUUUUAGAUAGUUAAGAAAUUAUUAUACGUUAAUGUAAAGCACAUGAAUUUUAUAAAAUGAUAAACCAAAGAUAUAGAAAAUAAAGUAAAUACUAUUAUUGUCCACAAAAACUCUAAAUAGUGUCUAUUGAUUGAAUCAUCUAAAUCUUAUUGUCUACAAAAAGAAUAAAAAAAUUACAUAAUCAAAAGAAGUUUUUUGAGAGAAGUUCAAAGAAAUUUUCUUUUGAUAUUUCAUGUCCUUCAAAAUGUAAGGAAGACACCCUUUUAUACUUUUCCUCGGAGAUGCGAAAACCAUAUGUAUAUAUAAUACUAUUUUAAUUUUAGGAAAAUAUUAAGAUAUAGAAUUUAUAAUCAUACGAGGUUUUAACGUGAUUCGAUCAAUCAUACCUAUGUAAUGAGAGAAAAUAAUUUUAUUAUAUAAUAAAUAAUAUUAUAGAUGACAAAACCAAAUACAACUAUUAGAUUUCUGAAAUAUUUCAUAUUUUCCUACUUUUUGUAUUUAUACCAUAUCACGCUCUUCUCGCUCCACCAUAAUAGACUAUUUUCAUCUUAUAACUUUUUCUCUCAUGACUUAAAAUAUUUAUAGAGAGAUUCUUAACAAUUUUUCUUAUUUUAUAAGAGAAUCUAAUAUUAUAAUAAUAUAUCAAUUUAGAAAAUAUUCUAUAUAAUAUUCUUUACAAUUUUUUUUUUUACUAAUUUAGAAUUUAAGACACUUUUAAACCUAAAUAAAAAAUUUAACAUUAUGAAUUCUAUUCUUCAUGGCACGAUUUCUCAUUUGAAAGACAAAUCCAAUGUGAAAAGAUGUGUUUAUGAUUUUAUUCCAACUCUCCAAUAAUAAUAAUCACGUCUAUUACUCUUACUAUUAAAUUAAACCGGAAGUUAUAUGCAAUGUUAAGAAAAAUAUUUUUGUAAAGAAAUAUAAAUUUUUUUUCUUUUGUCUUGGUAAUAAUAAUUACCCUUUUAAAAUUAUAAUUUUGAUUUUAAUUUUAAGUUGUAAUUGUGGCAAGAUUGAUGUGAUAUGAAAAAAAUUAUUUCUUUUUGACACAAUGGAAAAAUUAUCACUAAAUUAUAUUCCUUUUUUUAAAUAAAAAAAUAUUAUAUUUAUUCAUUGGUGCCUCUGCUUCCACCGUUCAAAAGGAUAGAAUUAAAAUAUUUAUAAUUUAUUCCACCACGUGAAUUCGUUAUCAUAUUUUAAAAAUUAAUUAAAAUAAUGCAAUUUGACAAAAUGAAUCAUAAUUUAUGCCAUUAUAUUUAGACUUUGGAGGUGCAGAAGGGUUCAUCCUGUCUCCACGAACCAGAGAAAUGUCCGGUACAGCCGGCGGCAAAGUCCGUAAAUGGCCGGAUCUUCCAUGGAAGGUCCGACUCUUCGUCACAGCCUUUGGGUUCCUCACAGAUGCUUCUUUCCGACGUAAUGGCAAAGUCAACCGCUGUCUUAUUAACCUCAUUGAUUGCAAAGUCCCCCCCUCCGACAGGCCAGUUAACGGCGUCACCACCUCCGACACCACAGUCGACCCCUCCCGGAACCUCUGGUACCGCUACUUCGUUCCAAGCGCAGCCGAGGCUGGCAGGAUGCUUCCCGUUGUCGUCUACUUCCACGGUGGCGGAUUCGUGAUGCUCUCCCCGAGCUCCCAGCUCUUCGACGACCUCUGCCGCCUCCUCGCCAGAGAACUCCCCGCCGUUAUUGUCUCAGUCAACUACCGCCUCGCCCCAGAGCACCGCUGCCCAGCUUCGUACGAAGACGGCGUCGACGUCCUCAGAUUCAUCGACGAAAAACCCCCCGCCAACGCCGAUCUAACCCGCUGCUUCAUCGUAGGAGACAGCGCCGGCGGCAACAUCGCUCACCACGUGACUGCCAGAGCCGGGGAGCACAACUUACGAAACUUGCAAAUUGCGGGAGUCAUCCCGAUACAGCCAUAUUUCGGCGGAGAAGAGAGAACAGAAUCCGAAAUUCAGCUCGAGGGAGCUCCGCUAGUGUCCAUGAAGCGCACGGACUGGUGCUGGAAGGCGUUUCUGCCGGAGGGGUCGGAUCGAGACCAUCCGGCGGCGAAUGUAUUCGGGCCGAACUCGAGCGAUAUAUCGGGGUUAAGGUUUCCGAAAAGUUUGGUGUUCAUGGGAGGCUUGGAUCCAUUGAGAGACUGGCAGAAGAGGUAUUGUGGAGGACUGAAAAGCAACGGAAAAGAAGUGAGGGAGGCUGAUUAUCCAAACGCCAUGCACUCCUUUUAUGCCUUCCCUGAACUGCCUGAAUCAACUCUAUUUCUGAGGGAGCUUCAAGAUUUCAUUUAUCCUCAAUAAUUUUUCUUUUGAUUUUGCAUACCUGUACAUUAUUUUUUGGGUGUGCUUCUUGGAUUAAUUUCACUAGUGUGUUUUGUUCAAUAAAUCGAGCGAAUAAAUUAAGGAGGUUGUUCGAUAUUUUAUAUCAUUAUUAUUAUUAUUACAAAAAUAGGAAUUUUCUAUUAUUUAAAAAUUUAUAAUUUGUCAUCGCCUUGUAAGAAAUUGUAAGGAAAUAUAACAUCUUCUCUUCUAUGAGAUGAGUUGAAGUAGGAAAGUGAUGUGGACUUCAAAAUUGUUAUCAUCCAAUGAAAAAUGAUAUUCUAGAAAGCACACUGUUUAGUUGGAAAAUUUGAGAGAAAAUACAAUUGAAAAAAAAUAGAAAGGAAAAGUAAAAGGUAAAAAAAAAAUGAAAGAAAAUAAAAAAUCACCAAUAUCUUGAUCCACAUCCAUAACACAUACUUCCAUUGUUCCAAUAGAUUUCUAUCGGCCUCUAAAGGUAUGUUGGUCCUUUCAACAACCCAACAUUCAAUCUUAUGAAUUCUUUCUUGAUAUAUUGUGAAUAGUAAGGUAAGUUAGUUGAUUCUCUCGGUGCCCAAUCCUAAAUAGGUUAAGAGAAGGUUUAUAUAGAUAUAUAGGUUUAAGAGAUCAGUAUCUAGAAAAUGAAUUUUGCUAUAUUAUGAGACAUCUAGAUAAUUGGGCAAACACAAUUAACCAUUGCUCAAGCGUCUUGAGCGCUUGAGCGUUGGAUAAGCACUUGAGCGAUUCCAAUGUUUGAGCAUUGGUUUCAUUGCUUGAGCAUCUUCUGCUUUUUCCAAAACAUUAAUUCAACAAUUUUUAGUUCAUAGAAAAAAAUAUCAAUUCACUUUAAGCCUUUAGUUACCUAAUUUGCUACUAAAUAAACAUUUUUAGACUUGUAACUUUCUAAUUGAGCCAACAACAAUUUUGGAUCUUGAGUGGAAAAUAAGUCACUUUCUAAAAAAUUUUCUACGUUAGGAUGAAUAAGAACAAAAUUACCAAUAAAAUAUAAAUAAGACUCAACGUCUUAACAUAAACAAUGUAAAAAAAGAAUAUAGAAUUUCAAAAUUAUUAUUUUUAGAUAAAAAUACCGUUUAUUAUUUUUUUAUCCACAAUUCACAUCAAAUAGAGGUUACUUUUAUAAUUUUUAAUAAGUGAAAAUUAUUAUUAUUAUUUUUUUUAAAGAUUUGGGAUCAUUUUAUCAUUUUUGACACAAAUAUUUAUGCUAUUUUUUUACUUCUAAAUUAUAUAAAUGAAAGUGCAUUUAAAUGACAUCUAAUUGUCACAUUACUUUUUGUAGGGAAUUAAACCGAAUUCCCAAACUGUGAGAAACAAAAAUAGAGAAAAAUACACGCCAAAGAAAAAUAAUCACAAGCACAAGAUAGUAUUUACGUGGUUCAAUAAUAUACCUACAUCUAUGGAGUUGUAGGGAUAUCACUAUUAUCAGGGAAGAAUACAGAGUACAACCACAACGGCUACAAUAUUUUCUCUCUAUAUAUAACACGACAACUACACCACACUAAAAAACCCUAAUUACAAAAGGUGGUUCCACAAUGGGCUAAACGGGCCCAAUAGGCCUCAGUAAAUCUCCCAUUAAAAAGCCAUGCAAUAUUAUUCGGGUCGGGUCGUCUAAUCGGAUCAAACAAAACUAGGCUCCACAAAGCCCAACAAAUCUCCCACUUGGAGACUAGUUCAAUCACCAACAUCAAACCGUUAUCCUCCAAGAAACAAUCCCUCAUCCCUGCAACUCAUCCUCCUGUCCUCAAGCUAGAAGACCAAUUGAAGCUGCGCACAGUUUCAACUUCUCAAUAGUGACACCCUUAGUCAACAUGUCCGCUGGGUUCUUAGAUUCACAAAUCUUCUCAAGUAUUCCCAGUUUAUCUUCAAUAAGAUAACAGAUAAAGUGGUAUUUUGUUUGUAUAUGUUUCGACUUUGAAUGAAAAGCCGAAUUUUUGGCAAGAAAAAUUGCACUCUGACUGUCACUAUGUAGAAUGCCCAUCUCCUGCUUCUUACCUAAUUCAUCUAAGAAACCAUGCAGCCAAAUCAUCUCAUUUCUAGCUUCAGUUGCUGUAACAUACUCAGCUUCUGUAGUAGAUAAAGUAACAAUCUUCUGUAGAUUUGAAGCCCAUGAUAUAGUUGUACCACCUAGAGUAAAAACAAACCUAGUAGUACUCUUUCUACUAUCAAUAUCACCAGCAAAAUUAGCAUUUACAUAAUCCUGCAGUUUCAAACUUGCACUUGUGAAGCAAAGACAUGUAUCUAAUGAACCCUUUAGAUAUCUUAGAAUCCACUUGACUGCUUCCUAAUGUUGCUUUCCAAGCCUACUCAUGAAUCUGCUCACAACUCCCACUGCAUGUGCAAUGUCUGGCCUUGUACACACGAUAGCAUACAUCAAGCUGCCAAUAGAAAUUAGAUUCCUCUUCAGGUCAGGAAUAUGUCAAACCUUCUCUAGUAACCAAACAGACCCAUUGGGUAACGAUAUCCGGAUGUCUGCCAGAACCACAACAUCCAAGGCUAAACCAUCAGCCAAAUACACCUUACCAAAAUCACCUGCAGCAUAAUUCUGUAUGAUUUCUCGGUGUGGAGUGGUAUGAAACGAAGCUCCUGAAUCCAAAACCCAAUCAUCAAGUGGAUUGUCUACUGCAAGAAGCAAUGCAUCUUGUACCUCUUCUGUUACAACAUUAGGAGAAUCAUCUUCAUUCUUCUUCUUAGGGCUUUUGCAUUGCCUUUUAAAGUGACCUGUUUUCCCACAGUUCCAGCAUUGUACUUGUUGGCCUGAUCUAGAUUUGCUUCUGUUCUGAUUAAAAUUUCUGGAUUUUGAUCUACCCUGGUUUGAAUUUCUAUCAUUACCUCUGCCUCUUGUCUCAAGGUUUAGGGCAGAGCUAGAUCCUGAGGUUUCGCCUGCAUCUCUUCGGCGAAUCUCCUCAGCCAUAAUUAAAUCUCCUAUAUCAUUGUACUUGAGCUUUUCCUUUCCUGUAGAAUUGCUUACUGUCAUCCUCAUUGCCUCCCAACUAUUUGGCAAAGAAGCCAAGACGAUUAGAGCACGAAUCUCAUCAUCAAAAUCAAUUUCUACAAACGACAAUUGAUUUGUGAUUGUAUUAAAUUCAUUCAGAUGUUGUGCUACUGAUGCAUUCUCUGCCAUCUUCAAAUUGAACAAUUUCUUCAUCAGAUGCACCUUAUUGUUUGCGGACUACUUUUCAUACAUACCGGACAAAGCCUUCAUCAGAUCUGCUGUGGUAUUCUCCUUUACAACAUUGUGUGCAACAGACCUAGACAGAAUUAACCUAAUAACUCCUAAAACCUGUCUGUCAAGAAGCGCCCAUUCCUCAACCUUCAUACUCUCAGGUUUUGUCCCCAAAAGAGGCAGAUGCAAUUUCCUCCCAUAGAGAUAAUCUUCAAUCUGCAUCCUCCAAUACGCAAAGUCUGUGCCAUUGAACUUUUCUAUUCCAGACACCUUUCCUGCUUCCUUUGCCAUUGCUCCCACUCAAACUUAACCCUAGGCUCUGAUACCAGUUGUAGGGAAUUAAACCGAAUUCCCAACCUGUGAGAAACAAAAAUAGAGAAAAACACACGCCAAAUAAAAACAAUCAUACGCACAAGACAGUAUUUACGUGGUUCGGCAAUAUGCCUACAUCCACAGAGUUGUAGGGAUAUCAGUAUUAUCAGGGAAUAAUACAGAGUACAACCACAACAUCUACAAUAUUUUCUUUCUAUAUAUAACACGACAACCACACCACACUAAAAAACCCUAAUUACAAAAGGUGGUUCCACAAUGGGCUAAACGGGCCCAACAUGUCUCAGUAAAUCUCCCAUUAAAAAAUCAUGCAAUAUUAUUUGGGUCGGGUCGUCAAAUCGGAUAAAACAAAACUAGGCUCCACAAAGCCCAACACUUUCUUAUAUGGCUUUAUGAUAAUUUAAAAGCCAAAUGAGUACAUAAUUAUAAAUCCAUAAUAAAUGUGAUGCCUUUGUUCUAACUUUUGCUUCCCUGCUCUCUCUUCUAUUUUAAGCUAUUAUGUGUUAUUGUUUCUAGGUUAAGAACAUGCUUAAAGCCAAUUUGAAAGUGGUUAACCAUAUUUUCUAAAUAGAUAUUUGAUAAAUGUUGAGUAAUUUCCUUUGAAAGUGUUUCUAAUUGGUAAGUGAUUCUUCAAUCAUUUUUUUUUUUUUUGUAAUAACACUUUACCAAAAAAACUUUUUCAAAACACUUUUAAAAUUUAUAUUCAAACACUAUGGACCUCUUUGGUAAAUUAGUUAUUAAAAUUUGUUGUUCGAAAUCAAAUCAAAUUAUUCUUAGCUAUUAAGUUAUAUUAAGAGUGAAUUUGACAAUAUUUCUAUUUAAAGUACUAUAAAUGAAAGAGUUUGUUUUUAGGAUAAUACUAUAAGUAAUUUUUUAAACAUACCAAACACUUUUCUAUGGAAUAAGUGAAUAAUAAUAAGGGACAAUUGCGUUUUAGAUCUAAUUGGGCCCAUAAAUUAAGUUUUGAUCCAUAUAAGUUCACCAUUUAAGUUCAAGACCUAGAGGAAGUGUGGAAAUUGAGAAGAAGGAUAUGAAUUUUUUAUUUUUAAAAAAAAUGACAUUUAUUGACUAUGAAAAAAAAAGUAGAAAAAUAUUAAUUCAAAUUUUAUUCAUUUUUUAAACCUCAAUAAAAUUUAAUUUAAUUUAGUGAUUUGGAAAAAAAUACACAAUUUUCCAAAAAAAUAAAAAUAAAUUAUUAUUAUUAUUAUUUAAAAAUCAAACAUCUUGAAAAAUAUAUAUUUUUAAAAUUGUGUGUGUAAAAAAUAACUAAAAUUAUGUCAAAAUUAUUUUUUUUAAAUGAUAUAUAUAUUUUUUAAAAUUAGUUUUCUAAAAAUAAUAAAUUUUCACAAUAAUUAAAAAAAAAAUUAAGAUAAAAAAGUUUGUCAAACAUUGUAAUAGAAAAUACUCAAAAUAGUUUUGAAGGGUAUAUUGAUCUGUUCACAUUUUAUAUCAUUCCUAUCAAUUAUGUAAUUUUUAUGGGUCGAAUCUUAAUUUUUAGGCCCAACUAGAUCCAAAACACAAUUAUUCUUAAUAAUAAUAAUAAUAAUUAAUAAUUUCAAACUAAUACUAAUAAUAAUAAUAAACAUAAUUUUGAACUUUUUGACCAAUUUCUACUUUUAAAAAGACAAAAGUGAUUGAUGAUCAUAUAUUUCAAACUUUUCUACCAAUUUCUACUUUUAAAAAGACAAAAGUGAUUGAUGAUUAUAUAUUUCAAACUUUUCUACGAAUUUCAACUUUCAAAUAGAUGAAAGUGAUUGAUGAUUGUAUAUUUCAAACUUUUCUACCAAUUUCAACUUGCAAAUAGAUGAAAGUGAUCGAAGAUUAUAUAUUUCAAACUUUUCUACCAAUUUCUACUUUCAAAUAGAUGAAAGUGAUUGAUCAUUAUCCUUUUAAAAUAUUUUUAUUAAAAGUAAUGAAUAACUUCAUUUUAUUUCAUAAUUUUAAUGAAAUGACUUUUCUUUAUUUUAUUUUUUUUGAAACAUUAAGUGGUUAAAAAUGAACUUAAAUAAUUAUUUUAAAAAGGCUUAAAAUUGUUAUGAAAUAUUGAUAUAAAUUAAUUUCUCCCUAACUCUCUAUAAAAGGAGAGACUUGCUAUAGAAAUAUUAUUAUAUUUUCUUUGAGUAUUCCAAUUCUUUCUCUUUCUGUUUCUUCUUCUAAUUCUUUUAUCUUACAACAUGUUUAAGUACAACACUUUAACCAAUGAUUUGAAAUAUUAUUUAUUUUUUGAAGAUUUUUGUCUCAAACUACAUGGGAAGAUAUAUCAGAAUAUAAAAUUUUUCCAUAAUUAUUAUAAUAGUCUAUUUUCUUAUUUUGUUGAAAGAUCACACAAAUUUUAAUUAUUCAUAAUUUGAAACUAUGUAAAACUAAAUACUAAAAGUCAUGUAGUAAGUAGCCAUAUAGAAAAGAUUGUGUUAUUAUGCACAAAAGGAAGCUAUUAUUAAUAUUAUUCAUGACAAAAAGUUAUUAGUUUUAUCAAAAUAUGUUGUUAUCAUGUAAAGUUAAAAGCUAUAUAAUUAUUAUUCAUAACUAAAAGUUAUGAAAAAAUGAAAAAUUAUAUAGAAAAUGUAUUAUUAUAAUUAAAAUUAUGCAUAGUCGGAAGCUAUAUAAUUGUUGUUAUUCAUUAUUAGAAGUUAUGAAAAAACAUAAUAAUGACGUUCUUCAUAUGGUUAAGAGAUAUGUCAAAGUUGUCAAUAUGCAUUUUAUAUAGCAAAAAACUAUAUUGGUAUAACGUGAAGCUACACAAGAAUUGUUAAUAGCCAAAGGCUAAAGUCAAUAUAUGUUUGAAUUGAAUGCAAUUUCAUUUCCUAAAGCAAAUGUAAUGUUUUUCCUAGAAAUGAAUGCAAAUAUCCUUCCUUAAUUGUUAAUAUUAAAGUGAAACUUGACAUAACAAAAUAAAUUACACCAUAUUACUAGAAGUGACACAAUAUUAAGAAUUAUUAUGGGUGUAAUAUGACAAAGUAUUGGUCAUAUAUCUGGCGUACACCUAAAUAAUUAGUUGACUUUUACAAGGUCUUAAUAAAAGUAAAAAGAAGAUGAAAAGGGAUUUCUUUAAAUGUUCUUGUGAAAACUUGAUUUUCUAGAAAAUGAUGAACAUAUUCUUAUUAAUUGAUGUUAUAUUAUAUAUUUCAAUUACAUUUAUUAUAUUAUUUUAAUUUGCGAAAUAUGUUUUAUGUUUUUCUCAUAUACUUUUCAUAGAUGAAAGAGUUAAAUACACUUUAUUCCUCCAAUCUUUUACUUGUCUUCUCACAUUGAAAAUCCAACACUAUGCCCCUAAAUUUGUUAAAGAGUAACAUUUCAAUAUUAUUUACAAACCCUUCAUAGAUUAUAAAAGGGAUUAAUCUCUUUGUCACUAUGAUUUGAACACUAGUUCGUAUUUAGGUAUAACCAAAUUUGAAUUAGUAGCCUUGGAGCGGAAUUUCCCAAACACUUAUGAAAUAUUUUAGCCACCAGUUUUGAUUUUUGACUUUUGAGAAAUAUUCUCAUGACUAUUCAUAAUUUUUGCAUAUAAGUGUGUAGUGUGGCAUCUUCAAACUUAGACAACAAGUGAUUUUCUUUGUAUUUCAACUUUAUUUCUUCACUUAACAAAUUAUUCAUUCACCUUUGAGAGCAAAGUACUACUUCUAAUACCUUGAAAGGUAAAAUAUUGGAUUUUGAAUACGAGGGAGCAAAGUGUAAAAUAUACAAAAAAUUAAAAGGAUACAAUGUAGUUAGUCCUAUAUGAAAUUACAUAUGCUAUUUCAAGAUAAACGAGAAAGAUUUAUGUCUUGUAGACUAUGCAAUCACUCACAUAAUUCUUUAAGGUGAAAUAUAUUUUUUUCAAUCUAAGAUUAGCAAAGGUUAAUGAUAGUACUAUAUCAUGUUAUUAAACGAGAUUAGAUUUUAUAUAAAAUAAUGUUUUAUAUUAUAACAAAUCCAAAAGAUUUUUUUUUAGUUUUAAAGAUAUCCAUAUAAAUGUGUAUCAUAUUGAAACUAUCAAUGAAUGUAUUAUAAAAUAUAUUUACAUUACUUCUAUUAUUUCUACCUAGAAGCAUGUGUAAAAGCUCUUGGCUUUUAUAUAACAAUAUCAAAUGAGACUAGAUUUUAUAUAAAUGAUGUUUUAUAUUAGAGAAAAUUCAAAAGAAACUUCUCAGAUUUAAAGAUAUCCAUAGAAAUGUGUAUCAUAUUGAAAUUAUGAAUAAUGUACUAUAGAAUAUAUUUACAUUACUCCUAUUAUUUCUACGUAAAAGCAUGUGGAAAAGCUUUUGACUUUAUCCUCUAACUUAUAUCAUACAACCAUAAAACCUAUUGAAUCAUAUGUUAUUGUGAACUAUAAGUUCACAAAGACAAACAUUUUUAUACUUUAUCAUGACUUGUUAAGCCAGCUGGGGUCCUCAAUGAUGCAUCAAAUAGUAGGGCAUUCACAUGUGUAUUUAUUAAAAAAUUAGAGGAUUUUUUUGCUUAAUGAAUAUUCAAUAUGCUACUUACUUACAUGGCAAAUUGAUAAUCAUAGUAUCUUUUACUAAAGUUGUAUUCAAGUUACCAAUCUUUUUAAAAAGAAUACAUGAGGACAUAUGUGAGCCUAUCCAUCCCACCAUUCAGACAAACUCAUUUAUUUAAUGGUCUUAAUUGGUGCCUUUACUAGGCGGUCGCACGUUUGUCUUAUUUUUACACAUAACGUUGCCAUUGUUAGGUUCGUUAAAUAAAUAAUUUGAUUGUGAGAACAAUUUCCAAAUUAUCGAAUUAAGUUAACAAUCUUGAUAAUGUUGGUGAAUUUACUUCUCAAAUACUUAUUAACUAUUGUAUGUUAGUUGGGAUUAAUAUUAAACAUCCUACUUGUACUCAUAUCUAAAAGAGUUACUUCUCAUAAUCCAAAUAAAUAAAUAAAUACACCAUUUUCCUUCCUUUUAAAUUAAAAAAACCAAUAUGGGAAAUAGGUUAUACUUUAUCUUCUCACUUAUUAUCAAAACUAGCAUUGGAUCUAAUUCUACCUAUUGCAAAUGCAAUUGUGAAGAAAAUAUUUUUUGUUAUGAAUAUUGUAAAGAAUCGACUGCUAAAUGGAAUAUGAGAUCAAUGAAUGAACUAUCAUUUACUUAUAUAUGUAGAGAAAGAUAUAUUUGAUAACAAUGAUAAUGAAACUAUUAUGCAAAACUUUUAAAAUAUAAAAACUCAUCAAAGACAGUUAUAAAAUAUAUUCAAUUAAAAUGUUAUUGAUCAAUAAAUUGUUUUGUACUUAUAAUUUAUAAAUAUUAUUAUUUUUUUACCAUUAAUGGUUGCCUCCUUAAGUAAAAUGGCUUUGCCACCCAUGAAAUAUAGAAUUUUUAGAUACUUAAGAAAUUAUUAUACGUUAAUAUAAAACACAUAAAUUUUAUAAAAUGAUAAACCAAAGAUACAGAAAAUAAAAUAAAUACGGGUGUCAACUAUCAAUAAUUAUUCCAACAUACAAUCUUAACUCUAAGUAGUGUCUAUUGAUUGAAUCAUCUAAAUCUUAUUGUUAAAAAAAAAGGGAAAAAAAAAAAUAAUCAAAAGAAGUUUUUUUUGAGAGAAGUUAAAAGAAAUUUUCUUUUGAUAUUUCAAGUAUAUAAUACUAUUUUUAAUUUAAUUAUUACUUUAAUUUAAUUUUAGUUUUUAAAUAACAUUAUUAAGUUAUUUUAUCAAAUACAUUCAAUAGAACUAAUAAUUUAAAUUAAAUGGCUAAAUCAUAUCAAUUUACCCAACUAAUCCAAUGCGUAUUUGACUAAUUAAAAAAUGUAACAUAUGAUAGAAGAUCAAGUAUCAAGAGGAUUUCUUUUAUUAUUAUAAAAAUGUCUUUAUUCUCACCUGCACUCAUUCCUAAGCCCCGCAAUUUUUUAAUUUUUUCUGGGAAUUAAAUCAGUUUGAUAAAAUAAUAUUAAAUUUCUCACAUGAUUAAGCUCGUCUAUUAUUUAAACAUAAACAAAAGUUAAAGUUAAUAAUAUAACAUUGUCACAUUGGAGGAAAAGAUCAUCAAUGUCAAUCAUUUUUUUUUUUUAAUUUCUAAAAAAACACCUUAGAGAAGUGUAGUGGGAGACUCCUUCCAUCCCUCCUUCCUUGUAUCUUUUCUGACCUCUGUGUUAGAAACGAGUUUGACUCGUGUUCAAAUCAAGUUUAAGAUAAUAAAAAAUUCAAACUUUUUUUGACUUUGCUUUUUGGGAAGACCCCAUUUUUUAAAGGUUGCUUUUCUUGUAAUUUUAUCGAUCAAAAUAACUUUUUAUUUUAAUUUUAUGUAACAAAACUUUUUAAACAUUAAAAGUGGCAUUUUAAAUAUUUUUUUAUUUUAAUAUCGGGAAAAUGUUAAGAUAUAGAAUCUAUAUCCUUCAAAACUUCAAAUUUGAGCUACUGCAUGAUAAAAUUUAUAUUAUUGGAUUAAGGUACAAAUAAAUCAAAUUAAGGUAUAAAAGUCGAGAUAAAUAUAAUUAAAAUAUAAACAAAUAAGACCUGAAUAUUAAAACCUGAAUAUGUUAUAUGACACCAUCUAAUUGGUAUCGGUGUCUUUUUGAUAUAGCAUGGAGAAAGUUUUGUUUAGUCCCGUAGCAUGUUUACCCUUAAGUUACAUUUAAUUAGUAGAAUAAAAAUAGGAUAUGAUAUGUAUAUUAUAAGAUAUCAUAUACCAUUAAAUAAAAAAUAUAUAUUUUAUGAUAUGAUUCUUAAUAAGAUAUGAUAUUUUUAAAUAUUAUAUUCAAUAGAAAUGAUAUCCUAAUAUAAUAAAUCCAAUGGAAUAUGAUAUGUUAUGUUUAUAUAUAUUUUAUAAAAUAAAUAAAAAAAUAAAAUAAAAUAUGUAUAUUACAUUCCACAAUUUAUCUUAGAUUUGAUUGAAUAUAAAAUAAAAUUAGUGGUAGGAUAACUUAUUUUAUCCUAUCAACCAAAUAUAUGAUAAAAUAUAUAUAUAUAUAUAUAUAUAUAUAUAUAUAUAUAUAUAUAUAUAUAUAUAUUUUUUUUAUUAUAUCUUAUGUUAUGUUCGAUCAAUGACCUUAAUUUCAUAUAAUUAAGAUCAAAUAUCAAUGAAUAUUACCAUCUCUCUCAUCUUAUUUCAUGAUAUAUUAUCAAAUAUGACUUUAAUUUCUAUAAAAAAAAUAUUUAAAUAUAAAAAAUAAUAUUUAAAAUUAUGAAUUUUAUUUUUCAUAACUUGAUUUCCUAUUAGGAAAAUUUGAGAUAAAUUCAACGUGAAAAGACGUCUAUUGCUCCUAUUACCAAAACUAGAAGUUAUGUGCAACCACAAACAUAUUUUUAGUGAAGAAUAGAAGAAAAUUUUCUUUUGAUUUGGCCAUAAUAAUUACCCUUUUAAAAUUAUAAAUUUGAUUUUAAUUUUAAGUUGUAAUUGUGGCAAAAAAAGAAAAUUCUUUCUCUAUGAGAAUAUUAGUAGAUAAAUAUUAAUAUGAAAAAAAUUCCAACAAAGACGAUACUCUUAAGAGUUAAAUUAUGAAGUUAAAAUGAAUAAGAUUAAUGGGAUAUGAAAAAAAAAAUUAUUUAUUUUCGACACAGUGGAAAAAUUAUCUCUAAAUUACAUUCCUUUUCUUCAUAAAAAAAAAAAAAAAAAAUCACAUUCAUUCAUUGGAGUCUGUGCCUCCACCGACCAUAAGGAUAGAAUUAAAAUAUUUAUAAUUUAUUCCACCACGUGCAGUCGUUAUAAUGUUUUAAAAAAUAAUUAAAUUUGACAAAAUAAAUAAUAAUUUAUGCCAUUAUAUUUAGACUGUGGAGGUGCAGAAGGGUUUCAUCCUGUCUCCAGAAAUGUGGCCGCCGAAUCUUCCAUGGAAGGUCCGACUCUUCGUCACAGCCUUCGGGUUCCUCACAGACGCUUCUUUCCGACGUAAUGGCUCCGUCAACCGCCGUUUCAUUAACCUCAUUGAUUUCAAAAUCUCCCCCUCCGACAAGCCAGUUAACGGCGUCACCACAUCCGACAUCACCGUCGACCCCUCCCGGAACCUCUGGUUCCGCUACUUCCUUCCUAGCGCCGCCGAGGCUGGCAAGAAGCUUCCCGUCACCGUCUACUUCCAUGGUGGCGGUUUCGUGAUGCUCUCCCCCAGCUCCCAGCUCUUCGACGACCUCUGCCGACGCCUCGCCAAAGAACUCCCCGCCGUCAUCGUCUCAGUCAACUACCGCCUCGCCCCGGAGCACCGCUGCCCAGCUUCGUACGAAGACGGGGUUGACGUCCUCAAAUUCCUCGAUGAAAACCCCCCGGCCAACGCCGAUCUAACCCGCUGCUACAUCGUUGGCGACAGCGCCGGAGGCAACAUCGCCCACCACGUGACCGCCAGAGCCGGGGAGCACAACUUCACGAACUUGAACAUCGCGGGAGUCAUCCCGAUACAGCCAUAUUUUGGAGGAGAAGAGAGAACAGAAUCCGAAAUUCAGCUCGCGGGAGCCCCGCUAGUGUCAGUGGAGCGCACGGACUGGUGCUGGAAGGCGUUUCUGCCGGAGGGGUCGGACCGAGACCAUCCGGCGGCGAAUGUAUUUGGGCCGAAAUCGAGCGAUGUAUCGGGGUUGAAGUUUCCGAAAAGUUUGGUGUUCAUGGGAGGGUUUGAUCCAUUAAGAGACUGGCAGGAGAGUUAUUGUGAAGGACUGAAAGGCAACGGAAAAGAAGUGAAGGUGGUUGAUUAUCCAAACGCCAUGCACUCCUUUUAUGCCUUCCCUGACCUGCCUGAAUCAACUCUAUUUAUGAGGGAGCUUCAAGAUUUCAUUUAUCCUCAAUAAUUUUUCUUUUGAUUUUGCUUCUUGGAUGAGUUUGUCUCUAGGAUCGUUUUUCCCUGUACAAUUUUUUUUUUGGGUGUGCUUCUUGGAUCAACUUCACUAUUGUGUUUUGUUCAAUAAAUUGAGUGAAUAAAUUAAGAAGGUUCUUCAAUAUAUAUAUAUUAUUAUUAUUAUUAUUAUUUCUAUUUCUAUUUCGAUAUUUAUUAUUAAAUAGGAUUUUUCUAUUAGAGUUAAAAUUAGUAUUUAAAAAUUUAUAAUUUGUCAUCACCUUGUAAUAAAUUGUAAGAAAAUAUAACAUCUUCACUUUAUGAGAGGAGUUGAUGAUGAUGAUUAUAAUAAUUUUAAUAAUUAUAAUAAUUUCAAAUUGAUUAUAUAUUUCAAAAUUUUCUACUAAUUUCUACUUUCAAAUAGAUGAAAGUGAUUGAUCAUUAUAUUUUUAUUAAAAGUAAUGAAUAAUAACUUCACUUUUUUCAUAAUUUUAAUGAAAUGACUUCUCUUGAUUUUUUUUUCUAAAAAACAUUAAGCGGUUAAAAAUGAUUUCAAAUAAUUAUUUUAAAAAGGCUUAAAAUUAUUAUGAAAUAUGAGAAUUUAUUAUAUGAUGAAUGAUCCUUUAUACUGAUGUAAACUAAUUUAUUCUUAACUGGGAGACUUGGUAAAGAAAUGUUAUUCUAUUUUCUUUGAGUAUUCAAAAAUUUUCCCUUUUGUUUCUUCUUUUAAUUCUUUUAUUUUACAUGUUAUAAGUAUGAUACUUUAACCAAUAGUUUGAAAUAUCAUUUUUUUUUUUAAGAUUUCUACCUCAAACUAUAUGGCAAGAUACAUUGCAAUAUAAAAUUUUCCAUAAUUAUUAUAAUAGUCUAUUGUCUUACUUUGUAGGAAGACCACACAAAUUUUAAUUAGUCAUAGUUCGAAGUUAUGUACAACUAAAUACUAAAAGCUAUAUAGGAAAAAAUUAUGUUAUUAUGCAUAAUAGGAAACUAUACAAUUAUUGGUAUUAAUCAUGACAAAAGUUAUGAAAAUGUUAUAAGUUUUGCCAAAAUAUUUUGUUGUUAUGUAAAGUUAAAAGUUAUAUAAUUAUUAUUAUUCAUAAGCAAAAGUUAUGAAAAAAUCAAAUAUUGUAUAGCAAUUUUUUUAUUGUAAACAAAAUUAUGCAUAGUCCGAAGCUAUAUAAUUAUACUAAUAUAUUUUGCAAAUUUAACUCAACCAAAUCUAGCAUUCUUUGUCAACUUGCUUGCAAGAUAUUGCUUUGCACCAACUCGAAGACAUUAGAAUGAAAUCAAAUAUGUACUAUGAUAUUUUUGUGGAACAAUUGAUGUGAUUUAAUUUUAUUUGAAAGAAGUAAAAUCUCAAUUGCUUCGAUAUGGGGAUGUUUUCCAUCUUUUAAAUUUUCACAAAACCGAAUCUCAAAUAGAAUAUGUAUUUACCUAUGUUAGAGUAGCAAUAUCAUGGAGAUCAAUUUAGCACAUAAUCGAUAUUAGCCAUAUCUUCAAAUCAUUUAAAGAUAUUUGUAAUUCAUGAAGUCGUGAAUGUGCAUGAUUAAGGUUAAUGAUCUAAUAUAUAUAUUUGGGAAUCAUGUAGACUAUCCUCCAUUAAAGAUAAUACAACCAAGUUAAUUACAUAAAAAGAAUGUUUCUUGUAUUGCACAAAUUAAAGGAGGAUUUAUAAAAAAUGACAGAACUAAAUAUAUCUUUCACAAGUUUUUUUAUAUGCAUAAGCUCUAAGAGCACAAUGAAAUUGAUAUUCAAUAGACUCGAUCGUGUGAUUAUUGAGCGGAUCUAUUCAUAAAAAUGUUAUCAUCUACUAUAUUAUUAUUAUUAUUAUUAUUAUUAUUAUUAUUAUUAUUAUUUUACCUUCAUCCAAGUUUUGUUUCACCAGCUUUUGCUAGUAGGAUUUUUAAUGAGUCCUAAUAGUGAAAUCAUUUAAAGAAUAUUGUGAAUAUUCUACUUUUUUUUUUCUUUGUUAGAGUUUUUCCUAUUUGUUUCUCCUACUAAGGUUUAAUUGAGACAUGUUCUUAUUAUUGUCGAAGGGAAAGUAUUAUAAAAGAUGAGAAUUUGUUGUAUUAUAGAAACUUAUCAUGAUCCAUUGGCAAAAUUCAGAAUCACACUCACACAUAUUGUAAAGGUGGUUUUAAUUUUUAAAGGAUCAAUCAAAUGGGAUUCAAGCAAAAAAUAUUUUAAUGAAACACCUUUGAAAUAUUUGAUGAAGAUAUGGUCUAGAUGAACUAUAAAUUUGUCAUUUUAAAGCAAACUCAUAAAUAAAUCAUUAAAAAAAAGGUAGAUUAACUAUUCUACAUUUGCCUUCCAUCUAAAAUUUGAUAUUAAUAUUUAAAAGUAUAUAUAUAAGAAAAUUGCAUUCAAACCACACCUAAUUAAUUAGCCUUAUCUCACCUUAUGAUAGCUUAAAAUCAAUAAAUAAUUAUAAUUCCAUAAUAAAUCUCAUGUCUUUUUUCUAACUUCUUCUCCUGUUUUCUCAAUUUUAUUUUUAAGCUAUUAUGUAAUUUGAAAAAUAUGUAUAUUUCAUUUUUUUGUCUUUUUCUUUGUAAUCAUAUUAUUAUUUUGGACAUAUUAAUUUAAAUUCUCAUUUAAAUUAUUUUAUGAUUCAAUUUAAUAUCUAUUUUAAUGAUAAUCUAUAUAUACUUUAUAAAUCAUAUAAUUUAGGUGCAUUUAAAAAUUAAAGCACUAAAAUAAUUUUUUUUAAAUGUACUUUUAUUUUACCCUUAAAUUAAUUUUUAAAAAAAUCUCAUUUUUAUAAUAAUAAUAAUAAAAAUAAAAAAUAAAAACUGAACAACCUUGCUUAAUUUAUUUCACUCACAAUUUAUUGAACAAAACACAGUACUAAAAUUGAUCCAACAAGCAAACUCAAAAGAAAAAUCCAAGGAAAAUCAAAAGAAAAUUUAUUGAGAAUAAAUGAAAUCUUGAAGCUCCGUGAGAAAUAGAGUUGAUUCAGGCAAUUGAGGAAAGAUAUAAAAGGAGUGAAUGGCAUUUGGAUAAUCAACCACCUUCACUUCUUUUCCAUUUCCUUUCAGUCCUUCACAAUACCUCUUCUGCCAGUCUCUUAAUGGAUCAAAGCCUCCCAUGAACACCAAACUUUUCGGAAACUUCAACCCCGAUAUAUCGCUCGAUUUCGGCCCGAAUACGUUCGCCGCCGGAUGGUCUCGGUCAGACCCCUCCGGCAGAAACGCCUUCCAGCACCAGUCCGUGCGCUCCACGGACCAUAGCGGAGUUCCAGCGAGCUGAAUUUCGGAUUCUGUUCUCUCUUCUCCGCCGAAAAAUGGUUGUAUCAGUAUGGCUCCGGCGAUUUUCAGGUUUCGGAAGUCGUGCUCCCCGGCCCUUGCAGUUACGUGGUGGACCAGGUUGCCGCCGGCGCUGUCGCCUACGAUGAAGCAGCGUGUUAGAUCGGCGUUGGCUGGGGGGUUUUCGUCAAUGAAUUUGAGGAUUUCGACGCCGUCUUCGUACGGAGAGGGGAAUUUGUGCUCCGGAGCGAGACGGUAGUUGACGGAGACGACGGUGGCGGGGAGUUCUCCAGCGAGGCGGCGGCAGAGGUCAUCGUAGGACUUGGAGCUGGGGGAAAGGAACACGAGGCUGCCGCCGUGGAAAUAGACGAUGAUCGGAAGAUUUUCCCCGGAAGUGGUACCACGAGGAAGGAAGUAGCGAAACCACAGGUUCCGGGAGGGGUCGACUGUGGUGUCGGAGGUGGUAACGCCUUUAACUGGCUUGUCGGAGGUGGUAACGCCUUUAACUGGCUUGUCGGAGGGGGGCACUUUGAAGUCAAUAAGUGUCAUGAGACAGCGGUUGACGGUGCCAUUACGGCGAAUAGAUGCAUUAGAGAUGGCGUUCAAGGCGGCAAGGAUGAACCGGAUCCUCCAUGGAAGCUUCAGAGAGGUACGGAGUUCGCUGCCGGACG